This 48624-nucleotide long non-coding RNA is filed under the name Fragaria vesca (wild strawberry). Its description in RNAcentral is "long non-coding RNA (FVES_LNC001149)". The stretch from base 13824 to 13897 matches the Rfam family "tRNA". The record is from RNAcentral. Lineage: Eukaryota; Viridiplantae; Streptophyta; Magnoliopsida; Rosales; Rosaceae.
CUUAUCGCGAACAUAAGUAGUAGUCCUCAAUUCUUUGCUGCGUUUUGCUUACCUCUGUUCUUCUGCAACCUUCUUCAAAUAUAGGAAAAAUACUCAUUUAACACUAAUUUUAACCUCUCAUUGCCCAUUCCAAUGAUAAUCUUUUUCAAGAGCCCAUUUGAAUAUAAUAAAGUAACUUCUUUUGUGUCUAAAUGAACAAAUCUGCAAUAAAAGUCUUAACAAACCAUAUUAUUUGAAGUCUAUCCUCACCCCCUUAAAUAAGCAUAGAGAGAGAAAAUUAAAGAAAGAGAAGACUUGACUGGAACCUCGAACUCCGUUCACCGAUUACCGGACUCCUGUCACCGGUCACAAGAAACUGGUCACCAAAAUCUCGUUGGACAUCGAAAGCCGGUUGUUGGAAUCUCACCGGACUUUUUAAAAAGUCACCGUACCUUGACGAAACCAUACCAUACGCUUAGUGGAAGUUUAUUGAGGGGUAGUAAGGUUGAAACAUAUUUUAUUAGGAGCAGUAAACUUUUACCGGUUAGCUCAAUUAAAUGAAAUCUCACAAUAAAAGGUUUAUUGUGUGGGUGGGUUUUUUGGGGGGGGGGGGGGGGGGAGGUAAAUGUUGUGAAGAUUAUACUAACCCCCAAUUAAUGUUUAUUAACCCCUACAAACGUUAGAAAAGAAAGGUUUAACCUUCUUGUAACUCCCGCAAUCCACAUCAAAACAUGUUUAUUGGGGGGUAAACGUUUAGAAAAAUUUUAUUGUCCCCCGAUAAACAUUUAUUAACCCUAAUAAAUGUCAGAAAAAUGAAGCUUUGACCUUGUUACUACCGUAAAUCUCCAACAUAAUAAUCCGAAAAGAUUUAUUGAAGGAGAGUAUAUUCAGUACACAACAUGUAACUUCACAUACAUAUAUGGAUAGUCAGGAUUAGAGGAAAUAAUAUAGAAACAUGGUGGUCAAACAUAUGAAUUGUUAUAAAUGGUUAAGACUGCGUCGUGUAAAUACACGUCGUGCAUACAAGAAUUUCCAUAAGCUAAUAAACAAUUUAUUAGGGGUAAUAAAUUUUGAGAAAAAAUUACUACUCCCAAUAAAAUGUUGAAACACUACUGUGAGGCCCACAAAACCUCUAACCAGCUGUCAAGGGCCCAAACCCAAACCAGAAAAUUGCUCUGGGCACCCAAAGCUAGCAACCCGACCACUUACCGACCGUCGUUGGCGGACGACCUUAAGCUUCCUCCUAACUUCCGCUGCCGCCUCCAAUCUCUUGCGCUAGUGCCUUAAAUCCGUAACAACAGAUCUUCAACUUCUUCCUCGUCGGAAAAGCGUCGCCGAUUCGCUGCCUCAGAGUCGCAAUCCCAAAGCGAAUACCUCCUGAUCUCCUUCGUCCAAUCCGAGAUCGAGUCUCAGCUGAGUCGCCAUUGUCGGUGGCGAUGAUGGUGAGGAGAGUGAUUUAUAGGAGAUGGGCCGUAAAUUCUUAAACUUAACAAUUAAGGGGGUUUCAUCCCAUUUGCACCAACGAUUGAAAUAUAAUAUCAAUACUUUCAUUGUUAAAUAUGAUCAAACUCUGAUUAAUAGAGACUAACUGAUACCAUAGUAAAAUUCAUAGUUAUGAGUCAUAACUUAAUUAAAACAAAUCACAAGGAAAGGAAUCUAAGAAAUAAAAGGAAUACUUCCUAAUAAGCCUAGGAGAUACAUAAAUUAGGGGGUGUAUUCAAUUAGGAAUAUGUAGGAUUUUUUUUGUAUUUUGAAAGUCUUUUAAAAUCUGAUCGUAUUCAAAUAAGAUUUUAAACAGUCUGUUAAAAUCUUGUGGUAUUCAAUCGUGAUUUUAGAAAGUCUUUUAAACUAUAAUGGUAUUGAAAACUCCGUACAUUUUCACGGAUUCUAUUUUUGAGAUUCCGAACUGAAUAGACCUCAAGGACGAACUCGAUCCUCUUUCAACUGGUUUUACGAAUAAUAAAGAGAACAACUCUACAGCGAUUGACCAAUCUAUACAGUCUCGGAGCAAUGACAAUGGUGGUCUCAUCUUCAGAUCUCGACCUCGAUAGAGCAGAAUCCAUCAAAGGUUUGAUUCAUAACCCUUAACUCGAUUGCCCCCUUUUUGCUUUGCUCAAAAUUGAAAAGGUAGGGAUUUCCCCGAUUCAGAAAUCGUAAAACACUAGAGACUAGAAACCAAAAUGAAAAACUGAUCUGAGUGAUUAAUGGAUAGAGUCAUGGUUAUGAGAGCAUAUGCUAUAUUGUUGACAGAUUGAUACAAUGCGUCAUUAGAUUUAUGGGGUGGAAUUAUCUGUAAUUUGGCCUAUGAAAUUUAGUUUUGCUACCAUCAAUACACAGAUUUUUUUUUUUUUUUUUUAAUUUUUUAUGUAUUGAUUGGUUUCUAUAUAUCUAACAUUCUACUAGCUUAGGCCUUAAAGAAAGCUUAAACCCAGAAAAACAACAUAGAUCGGUGGACAAGAAUGAUCCAGGACACACAGAUUGAUUGAAAUAUGAGAGGACUAUUAGUGGAAUCCAUAGCAAAUGUAUAAUACUGUAAUAUAUAUUGGCAUUGAAGUGAAUGGUUCUAUGAGUAACUUGUAAAUAUUACUAGUAAGCCAGCCCCCAACCUCUAUACUUUCUGUCCCAAGAGCUGAAGUGAGUGGUUCUAUGGUCUCCCGGUGCCUCUUUAUCCCUAGCAAUUUUGUAUGGGAAUUAGUUGCUAGGUGCUGUUAGUUUUUUUUUGAUACAGCUACUGUAGUUUUUCUCUCUAGUGUCUUUUAUGCUUUUCUAGCUAGUUUGUUGUUGUUUUUGGUUUUAAGCUAGGCUCCUGUAUUCCUUGUUAACUGUAAGUUGUAGGCUCUUUGCCUGUUGGCUUCUAUGAAAGUUUCUUUCAGACCACAAAAGAAGAAGCUCGUAACUGAGUAUUAUAUCAUGUGAUUAUUUGCGUCUGUUGUUAGAGACUUAUGAGAAGGAACGGACCUAGAAUGGCGGUGGAAGUGUCAACUAUUGCCUAACAGUGAGGAAAUCACAACUACAAUGUUGCAUUUUCUCAUACAGGCAAAUCUAGAGGCAAGUGUUAGUGUUUGUAUAGUCAACGUUGUGCUUAGAUUUUCAUUUCGUAAUUCGUUAUAUGAAUGUGAUGUGGGCAGGUAGACAAAUAGUUUGAAUUAGAAAUCUAAAAUUUAAACUUCGUUGUUGGAACUUUGGAGUUUGAUAAUCAUGUUAGGCAUGUUAAAUUUGAUGACUCCCCUCAAUAUCUUUCUUACUAGUCAUGGAUAGUGAUAAGAACCUCAACAACUUUACAUGCCUCAAAGAUCCAUAACUUUACUUUGGUAGGCUUUAUAGUCAUAAGUGUUUUUGGUGUGUACAGAAUUCUUUGAGGUACCUCAGCAACUUUUACAUGCCUCAAAGAAUCCAUAUACAACAAUUUUACUUUGCUAGGCAUGACUGUUUUUGGUGUGUAUUAUCUACUUUGAGGAACCUCAGAAAUUUUAUAUUUUGAAGUGUAAUUUUCUUUCUAGUCAUCAUAUUUGGUUGAUUAGCAGGGUAUGUUUUGUAUAAAGAAAAUUCUUCAACUUUACAGUGGAGGUCAUGUUAUAGUUAAAUUGCCUUUUCGACCACUAUCAUUUUUAUUUAUAUGAUCAUAGGCUCGAAUGAAUCACUUCAUUGAGUACUAAUGCAUACUGGAUUUCAUCACCAUGAUCUAUUCUACUUCUCAUUUAAUUUCCAAGUCAAAUUACACUAAUAUUUGGAGGACUAAUGAAGUGGCCUUGGUGGAAUGGUGGUGUUACAGGAAGAAAAAACUCAAUGGAGUUGGAAAUUGGAAGAUGAACAAGGCAGAUGAUUUUAUCUUGCAUCAAACUUUUUAUAUUGGUUUCUCUCAAGCUUCCUCUACACAAGUACAGAAGCAAAUAUAUGUUGAUAUCAAUUUGUCAUUAGGAGCGAUAAACUGAAAUAAUUGUUUUCUCUUUGUCUACUACAUACACUUAUCCACGCCCUGAAUUAUGAUAAAUGUGUAAAUGUCACAUGUUUGUCAAUGGAAAUUGGAGUAAAUACUUGUGACACCCUGUAGUUUACACCUAAAAUCAGUUUUGUCCCUCACUUUUUUUUAAAACCGGUAUACUCAUAUACUUUGAAUUCUCGACUGAUUUGCCCUUGUCGUCAAUUGAACCGUUAAAGAAGACUGUUAAGUUGCUGAGAUAACCGGUCCUACGAUUCCAACUCAGCUAGAAACCUGCCACAUCGACAUAAUAUGUCUAAUAUACCCCUGACUCUAUUCCCCCCCCCCCCCCCCCCCUUUUACUCAAUCAUAUUUUCCCGCCAUCUUGUUGGGAAAAUAGCUGACUCUAUUUCCCCCCUAUAUCGACAUAAUAUGUCCAAUAUUUUCCCACAUCGACAAUGUUGCAACCUCGACAAGGUCUUCUAAAAGGGUUAGGCAGAAUUCAAGUAGAGGAAAUGACAAAUAGUUGUUCUAGCGAUGAACAUUGUGUUAGCUGGAGCCAUCUUUUUGUUCAGCGUUCUAAUCUUUUGGGAAUAUUCAACUCGAUAGGAUCUUUAGAACUAUUUUGUCAGUGAUGUUAGGGGCUCCGUGAUGUUGCUCGUUUUGUAGUUCAACCUUGUGCAAACAUUAUUGAGCUGCUCAUUUAGUGAUAUUGAAUUUCAGAUAUUGAAUAUUAAGAUGUUGAGAUGUUCAUCUACUGAUGUUAAUUUUUAGAUGUUGAUUUUGUGCUUGUUCAUAGUUUGUUGUUGAUUUUGAAAUGAGAUUACAUAUGUUGAUUUUCGGGUUUUGUAAACAGUAUAUCCCUUUGUGUUCAACUUCCACUGAAUGAAUGACAAUUUCAAUGAAAAGCUCUCUAAAUAACAGAGCUACACACACAUUUUUGACUCAUUUGGCGGGAAAAUAUGAUUGAUAAGGGGGGAAAUAUAGUCAGGGGUAUAUUGGACAUAUUAUGUCGAUGUGGCAUGUUUCUAGCUGAGUUGGAAUCGCAGGACCGGUCAUCUCAGCAACUUAACAGUCUUCUUUAACGGUCAAUUAACGACAAAGGCAAAUCAGUCGAGAAUUCAAAGUAUAGGGGUAUACCAGUUUAAAAAAAAGAAGUGAGGGGCAAAAUUGAUUUUAGGUGUAAACUACAGGGUGUCACAAGCAUUUACUCCAUGAAAAUUUGUGUAAAUGUCACAUGUUUGUCAAUGGAAAUUUGUGGUAUAGUUCAUUAUGAUUCUUACAGUAAGAGUACUGUCUAACUUCUUAUAAACCAUGUGCUUUGAGUUGGAUAUCUAGAAUAUUACUGCAAAAAUUGUUGCUGCUAAUAUCCAAAAAAUGGGCAAUUGCCCAAUUAUGUUCCCAUGUAGAUUAUUGUUUUAUAGAAUAUAUAAGCAGCGGGAUAUGAGCAAUUGCACCGUAAAAGUCUAGUAACACAAUAUACUGAAAUCUAUUAAAAUCCAAACAAAUCUUGGUCAUAGAAUACAUUAAAAUCUGUUCAACUCUAUAUGGAAUUAAAAGAAUUUAUGGAGUCUACAUAAUCAAUCAAUGAGAAUGAAGUUAGACAAAAUCAUUUAAAAUCUGUGGAGUCUUCAAUAGGAUUGAGAACCUGCCCAACGAACAUCACCGUUUUAGUCGCUUCUUCUCUGAUCAGAUAAAGGAACGGGUGAUCUGCCACAAAAUCUAUCGGAGGAGGAGGUACCGGUUUUCCAGCACUGCACAUCGUUCCAGUUGCCGUCACAGCAGCAGCUUCUGUGCCUUUUUCAUUAACUUCAGUGAAGGCUUUGUGGAAUAUUAGCGAAACAUGCAAGGGCUCAGGUGGGUCCACCAUCUCUGUCAAACCUCCAAGAGAGAAUCCCAAAGUCUGCAGAAGUUUGGAAGCCUCAAAACCACAAGAAAUCUUAAACUUUGGGAUUAAGAAUCUACCAACCGGAACUUUAUGGUCGGGAAGAUGGCUAUCUAUAAACUUGACGUUGGAGCAAAACUGCUCGAUCAAAGCUCGCAGCCCGUUUCUUGCAUUUGGAAGAAAGAUGUACAUGGAGAACUCUCUCUCAUAAUCUUUACCUUGUUUGUAGGGAAGCUUCAAGACUUUGAAGGUUUCGAAUUCACUUACGUACUGAUACAACCACUUUGUCCUCAUGAAGUGUGCCUUAACUGAGCCCGCAUUAUCGAGAAGGUGAAAGUUACGCACUCUUGUAUAUGAUGCAUCAAACUCCUUAUCCCAUUCUCCUUUGAAGUAUAAAGCAUUUGCAAGGAUGACCCUUGUUGCGGAGGAAACUGAGCCAAAGGGGAGAAUGCUUUUGAUGAGACCCUUGGUUUCCUUUUCCCCCCAGGAAUUCACUUCACGUCGCACUUCCUCUGGCUCGGUCUUGAAAUCAACUUGUUUCAAGGCCGCCUUGUAAUCAUUGUCCAAUACCUAAGAUCAAAGUUACAUGAUAAGAUAUCUAUCUGCAACAAAGUAUUAGUAAAUAUGUCAAAUUCGGACUACAUACAUUUUUGAAGGCAGGUUUGAUAGAGAGAGAUUGGUCUAUCCAAACCCCAUUGGCGAAUGACAAGAGAGGACCGCCGAGUUUGGAUCCAUCGGCAAAGACUAGUGGAACGACAUUGGAGGCUAUAGUGUUGAGCGCGUCUAUGGACUUGGACUUGAGGAAACUGAGCAUCCCUUUUUGGAUGGAACCCUUGGCCCCAGCAGCUAUCAUGCUAAGAACCACAUGAAUGGACAGCGGCGAGAACACAACGUUCUUGUCCUUAACUUUUUCAUUGAGAAGCAGUUGCUUUGUGAUAUCUAGUGCGACGUUGGUUUGGUCCUGAAUGGAUUUUGAAUGGAUUUUCUUAGAGACUCUGAUACUUUGAAUGAAGGUCGUGGUGGAUAUGAGAAUGGGAAUGGGAAUCGACCGAAUCGUGCAGCCAUGCUUCUGUGGAAGAUUUUAGAUAAACAACAUUACCAAACAAUACUCUUCGAGAAAUUAAUAUUAAACAUAUAUAAACCAAUACAUGCAACUUUUGUAACCAUAAAAUUCAUCGAACAAACUUUUGUAACUAAAAUUUGCCUCUUCUUUUUUUCCUAAGAAGAAUAUAUAAUUCUCACAAAGUCAUAACCAGCAUAUAAUAGUCUAACGUACAACAUCUAAGUUUCUUCUAUGACCAGAACAUUCAAAGAAGAAAUCCACGUUAGACAAAACCAAUUAUACAUAUCCUUACGAUUUCAAGAGCAAAUAAAAAAACUAGUAACACAGAAAGAGAGAUAUAGAGUUUGCUCACCAAUUAGAAUAGUAGAACCCGGGAAUUUGUUUCUCUGAUCGCCUUCAACUUUUGUGUCUCACAAUUUUUGAGCCUCUUGUUCUCCAUGACCAUCCCCUCUUUUAUAUGUGAUUAAUUGAUCAAUUGGGUUUAGGGUUUAGGGUUUAGGCCCAAAUCAAAAGAACACAAGGAAAAUACCAAUUCGGGCCACUCAGAGUCUGGCCCAAAAGUAACAGUAACCAGUUAAAGGCUUAAAGCUCUUCUCAAAAAAAGGAAAAAAGAAAAAGAAAAAGGAAGAGCAAGUUUAGCUAUGUAAAAUGACUCAUUAUUGCAGAUAAGGUGAGAAAUUGGUUCAUACAAAAUUAUAUGCACAGGCAUAAGCAGAAUAAUCAAACUACAAGAGUACAAAUAGAUCACAAAUAUGUUUUAUUCACACUUCAAUUAAAAUUCAGUACAGUACAAUUAUCUCCAAACAAAAAACAAACAAAAAGUUACACAGUUUGUUACCAUGACUAAUUUCUACACCAUUUAUUCAAGGUAACAGUAUGGUUACUUUCCCACAAUGAGUUUUGCUCUUGCGUGCCCCUCAUUUAUCUGGAACUGCUCCCCUAUGCCAAAAUGAGCCAUCACUAACCAAACAAAAGUGACAAGCUCUCCCCCUUUGCUUAGCAGUUGGGCAUGGUCAUUUGCUCGGCAAUGACCUGCUGCAUAUGCUAGUAGUUCCACCCACACUUCACACAUCAGAUCCCAUUUCUUUUUGUCCAUACUUUUUAGUUGUUUUGCUAGAAUACAUGCAUCAAACAACACGGAUUUACUUCGAUCCCCUUUGACAUCAACUGGCUGAACAUCUGUAUUUACCUCAAGAAUUCUAUCACAUGCGUCUUUUUGAUUCACUUCUGGUCCUAGUUCCCUUCUGCUGAAGAACUUUAUGGCUUCUGCACACGUAUCGCGGAAUCUUAUUUGUCCAAUUCCUGCUACAGAUGACAUCAUAGUAGGCUGCAUAACUAAGAGGUAUACCAUGUAAUCAGACAAGGUCUUGCAGUGUUCAAUUUUAGUGAGAACAGCCUUGUCUUUUGGAUCAGUACUGUCAAUAAGAACCUUGUAUUUUGGAUCAUUACUGUCAAGAUUAUAACAAAACUCAGUAGCAAUGUGCCACAGUAGAAUGCUCUGAUCAUAUUCAACAUCAACAACAUAAGAGAGCAACUUACGGCAAUCCUCAGAAUUAUUCCACUCACUAUCCUGUAGAAUCCAGUCACCUCUGGCCGAACUUAUUCUCCUGGCAGUUUCAGGAUCAUCUGCGAGCAUGGACUUACUUUUCAACUGAGCAAAAAUGAAUUUCCAUAGCUCUUUUUCGAGUGGCUUGCUGGUCCUAUAUUUGAUCUUAUCUCGAAGAUCCUUAAGACCAAGCAAGUAUAUGACAUUGAUGUAGGCCUUGAAAAUGUAAUCAAAAAUAUUAGGACUCAGUUUUGGACAUUCCUUGAGGGAAUAAUGUAUCAAGUUAAAUAUAGAGACAGACUCAUACCACCUUCGAAAUAGAAGUUGCCUACACCACUCCAAACAUGGAUUUGCAUUUUCUGUAACGAACCACCUAGAUUGCUUGAGAGUUAUGUACCUUUUGAGCAUAUUGGCUAGGCAAGAAUUUUGGCAAGACUUGCGCACAGCAGCAACAGUCCAGUCGGAGAAUAUAAGCAUGAACACUGCUAUUGAAUCCAAGGCCAAGGCACCGAAAAGUAAAGUAUAGGUAAUUCCAACAUCAAAGCCAUGGAAAUCAUGUUUCUCUAUUUUUUGGAAGCAAACAAGAGCUGUGCAAACUGCACUGAAGGAUAUAGCUCGGCAUAUGUAUCCCCACUUAGAAUGCACAACCACCACCUUGGUGAAUAGAGCUUCAUACAUGAAAUUGAGCUCAAUUGCAACCAAUUUGAAAGCGUCCUCUGCAUUUCUGUCAUGGAAAAACUCACGGCUCUCAAAACGCUCAUGAAAGCUGAAAAUGAGAUCCACGAUAAGACCCUUGAAGAUGUUGAAGAAGUGAAAGGCAUGGCGCACCAGUGCAAUAUUAUUUUCCAUAUCUCCAACGUCCACCACAUAAGUAGUAGUCCUGGAUUCUUUGCUGCGCUCUGCUGUCAACUCUAUAUGAGUUGGAAGUUUGGCAUCUUUUUUGGAAGAGUAUUCCUCCAUCAGCUUUGCAUAGUUGGGUCCAGGGUCUGGUUUCUUAAGCAUGGACUCCUUGAAAUUAUCCAAGCUUGCUUUGUACAAAGCACGUGUGCGCUCGGCAUACUUGAUGAUUCCUGCUACAAAUAGGAGAACCGUCGGCAGCCACAGCUUGUUUUUGGGAAAUGAUUGGAUGAAAACAUAAAAUGCAGCUAUAACCUGGAACACAAGCCCAAACAAGUGCCUUAGCCACAAUGUGUUAUCCUCAAGAGCAAAUGCUGUUAUGGUGUCUGGACCACCAAGGUGUAACAGAAGAAAUGGUGCCCAAAAUGCCAGAAGAUCACUGUUAAAAUCACCAUUGUUGUUGGGGGCUCGAACAAAAGGAUUGUCACCCUGACUGUUUGCAAUUAAGCCAAUCGCAAAGUUAGCUGCCCAGUCAGCAAGCAAGUAAGAUGACCAGAUAACAAAGGUUACAAAUAAGUUAGGAGAUCGCUUUCGGAAGGGUGCACCAAGAAUUAGAGCAGUUUGCAAUGAGAGGCUGAGGAGUACAAAGCCCCGGAGAUUCCACUUUUCCCAUAUCUUCUUGACAUUGAUAGGAAUGGGAGAAACCAUUGGUCCUCUCUUUCUUUGACUCCCUUGUCUUUUCUUCCACACCACUGAAGAACAUUACAGGUUUAUAUUAGUUAAUUGAGCAAAAGGAGAUGGGAUUUUUUGGAUUGCAAAAGCAUAAACUUCAUUUUGAAAUCUCUAGUUCUUUCCUAAAGGGGUGUGAUCAGAAGAAGGAUAUCUAAAAGGUGCUGUUUGAUCCUAUAGUUGAGGUUUAUACUACAAAGGAUGAAAGCCUGGUUAUAGUAUGUUAAAGAUUAAACAAAAGCAACAAAACUGAUUGAACCUCUCCAAAGAUUACAAUCCCAUGAUUCCCAUCGUUACUAUAAUAGUACUCUAACAACAAAACUAAUUGAGAUAGAACUGUUUUCCCCCAAGAAUCAAAGAUCAUAGUAAACAUAGACAACUUCAAGUAGGAAAACAAUUCUUCUGCAAUGUGAACAUUGGUUCUUCUUAACUGAGAGUUUGAUAUAUCGCAAUAAUAGUGCAAUACCCAAUAUUAAAAACAAUCAACUUGCAGAGAAAUAGCAAGGAAUAUGCAGAUGAUGACCAACACUGUGUCUUCUAGAUGGAUCAGCUACCUUAGUUGACAUGGUUGGGCAUAAUGUAGAAUGUGUUCAACAGUUGAAUUGUACAGACAACCAAAGAAAAGCCACUACCAAUUGACAGUUGAUGAAUCAAAGAAAAGAAACACAUCAGAAAAUGAAGAUAAGUGAAGCAGAACCUGAUGGGUUGGGAAGUCAAAUCACGAAGCAAUCAAGCUGCCCAGAAGAGUAAGAGAGUCUGCUUCGUUUCCUGCUGGUUCAGUUGAAGUUGAACAGAUACUUCUCAGUCUGCUAGGAGUCAACUGUGAAGUCUUCUGUUUUUUUUUGGUCAAGCAACUGUGAAGUCUUCAUUAUACUUGAAACCAGUUUCUCUGACUUUAAAUAAGAUCAGGAAGCUCCUAACAUCUUGGUGUCCCAUCUGAGCUGUAAAAGUAACAAAAAAUUAUGCAAAGUUAAAAGGAAAUACAAAAUUCCAAAAUGGAUGACUUGAAGGUCACAGACAAGCCUCAGUGUUAUUUAAACUAUGCACAUGUUCCAGUGUUAAUGUAGAAUUAGCUAUGUCUUGGUUAAUUAAAAUUAUAACCAUGAUUCACGUGCAUUUGAUAUUUAACUUGGCAAUUUUGUUAUGCUACCUUUUAUGAGUCAUAUCAACUAUCAAAUCCAGGUUAUGAUUGAUUAGAAUCAUACUGGCUACAAGAAUGGCAUAACUUUUGCUUUCUCUUAUUACUCUUUUCUCAGCUUGUGGUGGACAAUUGGUAUAACUAAUCUAGGAAAUUAUACUAUAUACUAAACCAUGGUUAACUGUUCAUACCAUAAGCAUAUGAACAGUGUUUAAAAGUUUUUUUUUUUUUUUUUUUCUUGAAACAUAUAAUUUAGAUAUUUUUAGAUAGGCUCUCUCUUGGUAAAGAUUUUUUUGCCCUCCAUUUUUGACUUUUCUUCUACAUCCUGAAUUUUACAAAUCAAAAUAAUUAGAGCAUUUAUAUUUUGGGUAGAAUACAAGAUUAGAUGUUUUAUUGUAUAGAAAUUAUUUUUGUGAUAGCUCUUAUACAUAUGUAGAAUAUGCUUAAUGUGGAUAUUACACCGCGCCAAAUGGCAGGUAUACUAACCAUUUUGCCUCUGUUAUUUUUAAGAAACCAUGAUAUUGCCAUUAACCUUAAANNNNNNNNNNNNNNNNNNNNNNNNNNNNNNNNNNNNNNNNNNNNNNNNNNNNNNNNNNNNNNNNNNNNNNNNNNNNNNNNNNNNNNNNNNNNNNNNNNNNNNNNNNNNNNNNNNNNNNNNNNNNNNNNNNNNNNNNNNNNNNNNNNNNNNNNNNNNNNNNNNNNNNNNNNNNNNNNNNNNNNNNNNNNNNNNNNNNNNNNNNNNNNNNNNNNNNNNNNNNNNNNNNNNNNNNNNNNNNNNNNNNNNNNNNNNNNNNNNNNNNNNNNNNNNNNNNNNNNNNNNNNNNNNNNNNNNNNNNNNNNNNNNNNNNNNNNNNNNNNNNNNNNNNNNNNNNNNNNNNNNNNNNNNNNNNNNNNNNNNNNNNNNNNNNNNNNNNNNNNNNNNNNNNNNNNNNNNNNNNNNNNNNNNNNNNNNNNNNNNNNNNNNNNNNNNNNNNNNNNNNNNNNNNNNNNNNNNNNNNNNNNNNNNNNNNNNNNNNNNNNNNNNNNNNNNNNNNNNNNNNNNNNNNNNNNNNNNNNNNNNNNNNNNNNNNNNNNNNNNNNNNNNNNNNNNNNNNNNNNNNNNNNNNNNNNNNNNNNNNNNNNNNNNNNNNNNNNNNNNNNNNNNNNNNNNNNNNNNNNNNNNNNNNNNNNNNNNNNNNNNNNNNNNNNNNNNNNNNNNNNNNNNNNNNNNNNNNNNNNNNNNNNNNNNNNNNNNNNNNNNNNNNNNNNNNNNNNNNNNNNNNNNNNNNNNNNNNNNNNNNNNNNNNNNNNNNNNNNNNNNNNNNNNNNNNNNNNNNNNNNNNNNNNNNNNNNNNNNNNNNNNNNNNNNNNNNNNNNNNNNNNNNNNNNNNNNNNNNNNNNNNNNNNNNNNNNNNNNNNNNNNNNNNNNNNNNNNNNNNNNNNNNNNNNNNNNNNNNNNNNNNNNNNNNNNNNNNNNNNNNNNNNNNNNNNNNNNNNNNNNNNNNNNNNNNNNNNNNNNNNNNNNNNNNNNNNNNNNNNNNNNNNNNNNNNNNNNNNNNNNNNNNNNNNNNNNNNNNNNNNNNNNNNNNNNNNNNNNNNNNNNNNNNNNNNNNNNNNNNNNNNNNNNNNNNNNNNNNNNNNNNNNNNNNNNNNNNNNNNNNNNNNNNNNNNNNNNNNNNNNNNNNNNNNNNNNNNNNNNNNNNNNNNNNNNNNNNNNNNNNAAUUUAAAUCCUAUUAAUUGAGUAAUUUCAUUAUUCGAAUUUCAUAAUGUGUCCGUAAGAAAUUUUAAAACCAUUAGAAUUACAAUUCCAUGAAUUUAAAUUCUAUUAAUUAAGAAUUUCAUUAUUUAGAUUUCAUGAUGUAGAGUUUUAAAAUGACAAGAAUUUGUAUUCAGACUAACCUUAGUUAAUGGAAUUGACAAAUGACGCUUAUUUUGUGAGGAAUUCAAGUCGGGAAUUUAAGCUCCUAAAUUUCACGAUUAUUUUCCCGUGAAAAUUGCUAAUUCCACGGGAUAAGUGUUCAAACGAGGGAAACCGUCCUAAGAAAUUAAGAAUUCAUUAUGUUUGAUUAAAUUCUCAGGAAUUCACCCACAUCCAAACACACCGUAAAUAUAUACACCGCGCCAAGGCGCGGGUAUAAUUCUAGUGUCCCAAAUAAGAAGCUAGCUAGGUAACAGUUUCUUUUGUAAGUGCAAGCAAUCUUCUUGGGCUUUUUACCAAAUGUGUUAGUUUUUUUCAGUGAUCCAAUUUCUCUCAGGAACUGGAAGUAGUGCCUUGAAACUGCCACCAUGUUGUAAGAUUCCCAGACUAGUUAGCAAGAUUGCAGAACAAAAAUAUCUGAGAUACCUCAACCUUUUGGAGAAUUCAAUGUUCUUUGCUUCACUGGGAUGGUUAAACCACCAAGAGCUCUCUUCUUUAUUGGCUCAUUUGGAGGGUUUAUAGUGAAAAGCAACAGGCAAUGCUCCUAAAAAUUCCUUACUUAGAUGAGUUAGAUGUAAGUCAUGCUUUUUAUGUAGCACCUUGUUGGGCAUCAACGAAGGUCUGACAACAUUUUAUGCUAUAGUGAAUCUGGGUACUUCAGUUUGAAGAUUAUAAUAUUGAGGAACCAAAGCUGGGAUUGAAAUUGCUUGGCUUCGAAUCAAAGGUUUUAGAUUGGUUUCGGAAGAAUACAAAAUGGGAAGAGAUGUUCAGAAUUGUAUAACCAUUUUGAGCAGGUUAAUCUAAUAAAACUACAGUAAAUCACCAACAAGCUUUCAUAGCUCAGUUGGUUAGAGCACCCGUUUAGUAAGCGGGAGGUCCUGAGUUCAACUCUCAGUGAAAGCAGAAUCUAUUUUUCUUUUUGUUGUUUCUGUGCAAUAAAAUGAAGAACAUAUAUGAGAAGCCAAAACUAUCUACUAUUCGCUAGUCCCCUAUAGUGGGUGGUGCUUAAAAUCAACAUCCACACCCUCAAGCUUGGGGGUAAUCCAGUUGAGAGGUAUUCUAAAAUACCCUCCCUUAUAAAACAAAAACACCAUUCUACUAUUUCAAUUUUUUUUAUGCAAUGUAAUCAUGCACAUAAACACAUUCCUACCAGCUCAGAUUAAGUUACAGUUCCAGUGACAGAGAGUAUCAUCACAUUCCAUUUGUUUCAUCAGAUUGUACUCCUAAAUUGACCCAAUAAUCACUCAUAAGAACAUGAGCAUCAUCACUAUAUGAACCACAUGGAAAUAUUGGCUCUUGCUGCAGCCACACUUGAUCAGCAGCAGUCGACAAUGUAAGUCCUGCAGAAUCUACAAACAUAGCCUCGGAAUCUUCCACCGCUGUUGAUGUCACUUGAGAAUGUGUCCACAAACUUUGAAGUUCACCAAAUGUAUCACAAAUACUUUGCUGUUCUGUAAUCUGGGGUUUGUGAUCAAUUUCAUCAGCAAUACCAGAACUUGAUGGAGAUAAGUUUUCUCUUGAAGUUUCCAACAGUGAUGCUUUUGAAGCUUCCUCAUCAACAAGAAAGGUUUCAGUUUCAGAUGAAGUAUUCUCCACUCUGUUGGACUUGUCAUUGUUGAGGCGCUUUUUCAAGUGGGUGUGCCAGUAAUUCUUGAUCUCAUUGUCUGUCCUUCCAGAAAGUUUUGCUGCAAUAACAGACCAUCUUGAACACACAAACAAGAAGAAAUAGCAAUCUCAUCAAUUCUUGUGUAGAAAAUAUAGCAUAAACAAUAUAACUCAAAUGGUUGGUAAAUUGGUAUUACCUCCAUACAUAAUAAGUUACUUGACUAACAGGUUAUAACACUGGUUCCUAGUUCCUCCCAAAUAGUUUUGCAUAUACAAAUUGGAUUUCUAGUAAUUACCUAUUUCCAAUUUUCUGUUGCAAUUUGAUUAUGGUUUCCUCUUCUUCCCUGCUGAAGUUUCCACGCUUAAUAUCCGGCCUCAAGUAAUUUACCCAACGAAGUCUACAACUUUUCCCAGAUCUUGCCAGACCUAAUAUAAUUGAGGCAGAGGAAAGACCAGGUCAGUACUUGAGUUCCAAGCAAGCAUAAUAUUCCUCAUUGACAGCAAAAUGUAAAUGCCAGAAACAAAGAGAAAGUAACCAAAAAAAUGAAGGUUGUGCAGUUUACUUACCAGCAGGUUUAGGCAUCUGACUCCAAUUCCAAAUACCAUAUCUUUGAAUGUAUGCUACCAACUUGUGAUCCUCAUCAGGACUCCAUGGCCCUUUCUUCAAUCUCUUCUCAUCACACUGCUGAGUACUACCCCUCACCAUUUUCCCACAGAAAUAUCUGUCUCAGAGUUUCAAGUUCUCAUUGUUAUGUCAACAUUGCCUAGCUAAAUGAUCACAAAUACUGUAUUAAGCGUGUUGGCAAGUCUAAAUUCUCCCAUAAAUGGGAAGCUUUUCAAAGACUAAGCAUUCUUAUUCAAGAAAAGGGUCCCUUCCAAAUAUUUACUUUAAAGAAUCUUAAGUUUGUAAGCUGGGAAUUUAUAUUUGGUUUUAGAAGCAAACAAUGCAAAGUCAGUCAAGGUAGCUAUCACAUAAUUAAGUCGUACAUGUAAGAAGACAGAGAUGUAAUUAACUAAGACUCUGAUAGUCUGAUAGGAGUAUUAAUUUGAAAUGCAAGGAUGGGUUAACCUAUUUACUAAUAUCAUUACUAAUCACAAUAAAUUUAGAGAAUUACAUGGAAAAGAAUAUUUGGGGCGAUCAACAUGAGGAAAAUAUGUUGGAUUUUUCUCCAUUUUAUGCCUGAGAUAUUUUCUUUUCAAUGCAUAAGUGGUCAUUUUCUGGGUGCAUGAAAAGUGGUCAAAGAUGUUCAGCAGUUGAGCUUGAUGAACUUCCUUUGUAGCUUUAGUCAAAAAGAGCACGCAAGCUCAUUUUGAUGUAUUGUGUAUACAUAUGAAACCUUAUUAUAUAUAUGCUCAUUCACAGAUGUUUAACAAAAUUUAUGUAUCAAUGUGACACACAAUCUGUCUCUUUUUAUUAUGUAGUUACGUAAGAAGCAUAUUUUUUUUUAUGAAGUACAAAAUGUUUUUAGGAUGACUAUGAUCAAUGAGCUUUUGUCAACGAAACUAUUUAUGUCUUGGCCAUAGUAGAUGUUUUUCUUGUAUGACUUUUAUUUUCUCCAAAACUGUUUUUUUGUCUAGAUUUUCCUAUCAUCCGUCAUCCGUGUAACACAAUUCCUUUUGGUUAUAAUAUACACAAGUCUACAAAGAUACUAAGUCUAUGUAAUGACAAACAGUACAUCAAAAUAGAAUUUGACAGACUCAUAAUUCUAAAACACGAGGAAUCGAUGGCCACUACUUGCAUAUAUAAAAUCUAAGUCCACACUCAACAUGCAGCAUAGUAGUAUAUUAAACUUGUCGCACUCAGAAGCUAGAGUUAACAGAGACUGACUAUUGGACAUGCAGUUCUGCACUUGCAUUGUUUAAGCUGGAGAUGAAGAGGAUGAUGUUGCAUUGUUUACACAGAUUCGUAUUAAUCAUUUCCAGUCAUAUUUUAGUGCCCAUUUGAGGAAGAGUUUCAUGUUUUUUCAACGAGGUAGAAAAAUCAACAAUGGGUGCGUAUCCCAUGUUGAGAUAUCGUAUGAUCUUCUUAAUAUAAUUAAACAUGUAAUUAUGCACUAAAUAUGCACCCUACUGAAAAGUCAGCCCAGUUGCUACUUGCUACAUUCUUUGCUGCAAUAUAAGCCCUCUCCUUCCAAACUCCCAACCCAGAUGAAAGCGUGAUUGAACCAUGAAAUCCUCUAGCAAUGCAUUUUGUAAAGACAUCCAGCCAUCUGUAGUGUAUAAGAAAGUAGCCAAGACAAUUGAGGCUUUGCGGUACUGAAUCCCAAUAGAUGCUAAUUCACACUCGUGUCAAAAUCCGAAUAGAUGUUAUUCAAUCCCAAAGACAUAAAACAGAGAGCAUAAGAUGAGGAAUAUUUAUCAUUUCAUUGAAUAAAGGAUACGAUAACGUAUUGAUCAUAACAUGUUCUACAACAACACAAGUCUACAGAACUCGGGUCUAUCUAAAAAACCCACAUGUAUGUACAUACACAUAGUUACUCAUCCCAUAACUUAAGAGUAGAUCGCCUUCCAUCUCUGGAAACUCCGCAUGCAAUCACCAGGUGGAGGAGUGAACUCAAGCUCUAGUUCCCAAUCACAACUACAGCAAAUCUUGAAUGGAAAAAAGUUUGGACUCCAUGGUUGAUUUCCCUUCCUUGGGGAAGAAACCGAAUGGGGAUAUGCAACUUUGAAUGAUACUCAGGUCAAUUUCUCAAUGGAGGGUCAAUGACCAGCUUGUUAAACUCAUGAAUAUGUACUAGCAGCUGGACUUUUUUGCGUGUUGCAGAGGUCGGGAGACUUGAUUGACACAAGAGUAGGUGGUUGGAGCUCAAAGAAAGAUUUUCCUCCUUCUCCAAGGCUGCCUAUAUAUAUUGUAUCUCCCCUACCGUGCCAGGUGCCAUCUUGGACAUUGUUCAUCUCUAAUGUUCUGGCUUCCUGCUCACAAAACAAUAAUACUAUUUAUGAGCUUCCAAGAAUAAGAAGCUUGCCAAACUUUAUGCCAACGUUUACUUUUAAUUUUGGAACCUAUCCAGAGUGUAUGGGUCAGAGAAGUGAUAAUACCUGAGAUAAUGUGCAGCAUGGACAGACAAGGUGGUAGAGGCAAUCAUCCACGGAACUCUCAUUACCCUGGAAAGAAUAACAUUAACAUUGAAUGUUUGUUAGUUCAGGUGUAAACAUGAAAGACAACAAUCAGAAUAACACCAACAUUCAAACAUAGCAAAAGCUCCUAACAGAGUACCAAAAUGACAAUAGAACAUUUUACAUACCAAAAAACUACAUGAUUAGGCAGUUCAAAUGGACUUGAAACUAUUAAUGGAUUCAUGAUAUGCUUUCCAAGAUGAUCACCACAUUGCUUUAUAUCAUACAGCAUAUUUUCCCACAUUUUCCUUAUUUUUUACAACUAAUGUAGCUUUCAAAUGCCUAACAACCACUGAAGUGCAUUGAUUUACACCCUAAUAUAUGAGUUAAGGAGAGAAGACAUGAUGAAUAUGACGAAAUUACUAAUGUUAGACAGUUAGACCAAACAUGAUUGCUAGCAAGCAAUGAACACAAUGACAGACAAAGAGAGAGUGCUUACCCUUAUGUUAAAUUUGUUUCUUAUCUGUGUACGGAAGUACCCCAAAUACGUCCCCAGUGUAAUGGUGAAAGCAACCACCAGAUAUACAAAGCAGCGCUUCUUGGUGAUAAUAAACGCAACGCAGUUGAGAAGGAUGCUGGCGACAAGGAUUAAAUGAAGAGAACCCUGCAAAACAACAUACCAAUAUUCAAAAUCUAUCUAAACAAUCCUGCUCUAUAACCUAUCAUCAGAUAUGAAACAAAGUGAAACUAGACAGCUCAAUCAACUCGGUACAACAUAUGACCUCUCUCACUGAACUCCAAAACUUCGACUCAAAGAUUUCAACUUUGAUCACCGCACUAAAGGAUGACGGAAAAGAAACAAACCUGUAAAAAGCAAGGACCAAACCCAGCUCGCUUCAUGUUCUUCCCAAAUGUAUAGCACGGACAGCUGCAGCAUCAUCAAUCACACUGUUAGUAAACAACACAGUCAAACAAUUCUCAUUCUCAAAAUGUCGAACCGGAUUCCACAAAGAGUCCAACUAUUUAGUCAAGUAUCAAGUCAAUGAGCCUUCCUAUUCAAUCCAUUCCAUACACAAAAGUAUUGACCUUUUUUCUUCUUUUGAGUUUUGACCAAUUCUAAUCAACUAAAAAUAGAAACACCUUCAAUUCCAAAAUCAAUACUUUCGCCGGAAAAGUCGAAUUCCGGCGAGAAAUUAAUCAGAGAAAAGAGAGAGACAACAGACCAAGCCGAUUCGAGAGCGACGCGGCGAUCUUCGAAGCAAUCUAGGAGCUCACCCUCCCACAUCCUAAACACGCCGCCCAAUUCCGCAGCCUCAGCUUCAUCUCCGCCGUCGAAGCUCUGAAACUUGGCGGCGGACUUUCCCUGGGUCUGUAAGGCGACGGUGGAGCAGAGCAUGUCGAAAUCCAACACGGCCAUUCCUCCGUCGUCGACAAGCCUCUCCGUCUCCUCCGCCGCCGCCUCGUCCUUGUUCAGCUGCUGCUUCUCCAAAUCCCCCAUUUUUUUUUGGCUUAUCAAAAAUCCCAAAACCCCAAAAAACCUGAAACGAAUUUUAGGGUUUCGUUUCUCUCUCUUUCUCUCUCUCUCUGAAACGAAGAAGCUUUUUGGGUUUCUGAAAAUAUUUAAACUGUUUGUUGGUGGCGGAUGAAUGAUUGUCUGUUACGAAUCGGGUCGGGUCGUAUACGGGUAUAUUUGGCGGGGUGUGUAUAAACGGGGUAUAUUUGGUUAACCACCAAAUAUAACGGUCUUCAUGCACACUCUCUUGUUUAUUCUUUAGGUUGGUUUUACUUGCUUGUUUUUCUGUUGGGAUUUUUAACUUGGUUGGUUGGUUGUCUGGUAUAGCAAACCUCAACCAUUUUAGUAGAAAACAAACAAUUUCAUCAUUAUUAUUGUAUACAUGUUAGAGAAAUCAAUGUUACGGUAGAAUCAUAUGACAAGCCUUACGUGUUUUUAUACAUGUCUCAUAGAGAUGACGAGAACUAUAGAUUCGAUUCGUUGUCUAACAAAAAAAAAAGUAAGGGUUUACGUUGAUUGGUUUUCUAGUUAUAAAGGAACGAGUAAACUAAUUAACUAACUAGGAAAAUGUACCUAGAUUUCGUCCGAUUUAACUUUACAGUUAACACUAUACCUGGUUAAGAAGUAAAUGUGAUUCAGACACUAGCAUAUACGAUACAUUUCUUUUGUCCUGAUCAUAUGGCAUCUCAAUUAUGGUCGGUACACCCUAAUACCAUCAUUUCAACCAGCCAAACGAUCAUUCUCUUUUUCUAAGAAACAAAUUUGUGAUAAUACUAAAUAAUGACAAGAAUACAAACUUUACGAUCCACAAAAGUGAUAAAACAGACAGACGCCGAAUAAAAUUCGGUCGACGUUUGUAUUUUAAGAUUAGGAAUCAAUCUUAGUUUGCAUUAGGGAAAUAAAGAAUGAGUCUAAUGAUGAUGACAGGCAAAGAAUAAGGUAUUACACAGAGCAAGUUAGCCACAGCCCCCACCCAGCAUACCUUGAGCUGUAAUCUGCAUUAUCAUUAAUCAAAAACCAUAAUGCAUUAUGCACCAGAAGGCAGAAACAGAGCCUUAUGGUUGCUCUACCAUAUUAUUCUAUGAUGAGUCAUAUGACACAUCCCUUGCUUGAGGGGACCAUAAUGCUGGAUCAUGGCUGUUGUGGAUUUCAUCAUAUGGAUAAGCACACGAUAAAGGGGUUCUAAUAUCCAAUCUCUCUCAAAGUCUCAACCACCCCACAUGAAAGGUCUUCGAGAGAUAAGGGUAAACAAAAUCGAAGAGAAAAACCUCAUUUAGAAAUGCAGCACUAGCGAAAAUGUCAAAAGCAACAACAAAUGUUGUAGGUAUUGCACAAAUCAAAGUUACAUAUAAUGAUUUCCUAAUGUUUUUGUCCGUAAAACGCCACAACAAAAGCAAAAGGAAGGAUGAGAUACAGUCGCUGCGGAGGCACAGACCUGUAGAAAUUUGGAAGUCAAGUUUUCACUGCGGGUCUCACUAACCCGAGACCUGAACCGCUCCCCAAAUGCUUGAAAUCUUUGGCUUCAAGAUCAUCGUCGUGGCCAGCAAAGCCAGUCCCUCCUUUUUUCAGGUUCACCAUGUUUCUCUCUUUACACCCUUUAUUGCAAACAAGACAAACCUUAUCUACAGGUAUGAACUUAUCAGCACACUUCUUACAGAAAACGUGACCACAUGAGCUAAGAGCCACAAGUGACAAUGUGUUUGUUAAUGUAACCUUGCAGCUUGGACAGAUAUAUGUCUUGUCCAGAGGCGUUGAUUUCUUCUCGUCGUUUAUGUCUUCAGUGAAAUGGACAGGGAAAAGAGACUUCAGCUUUAGUUUCUCGCUACCUUCUGGACAGGUUGUGCAUUCAGGGGGAGCAGCCACUUUAACAGGAGCUUCUGGUGUAGCAGAAGGCAGCCAAAAUGCCUUCAUUGUCCGAAGCGCCUCUUCUUCAUAAGAAGUCACCUUCACACUAUUUGCCCCAUGAAACCCACCCUUAUCCUGGUCCUGGUUUCUAUCAUUGUAGUGCGGUACUGCACCAUGGUUUUGCUGAUCGAAAGACUCAAGCUCUCUGGCUUUCUGUUGCCUUAACCUCUCUUCUUCAUCUUCCUUCUCUUGCUUCUGCUGACUAUUAUGUGCCACUUGCUUUCUGCAAAGUGGAAGAAGCAACAUCUUCAGAUAAACCACACAAUAUCCCCAAGCCAAGCUUGGUACCAUAGUUAGCCUUAAGACACCAAAAUAUAAUCAAGAUUUACCAAACUACAAAACUAGGAACCCCCAAUUACAAUUUUUUCUUGAUGUACAUCAAUAAAACUAGAUCACAAGCAGAAUGUUUCUCGCAUUGAGGAAUGGUUUUUUUUCUUUUCGUCUGUGGGUUAACCUAACAGCUGUAUAUGAGACUGCCAAAGGGAAGGCAGUAAUAACAGCACAGAAAGCACACAAAAUGUUGCAAAAUAACUAAUAGCAUGCACAGAAAGGAUAUGACCUGACAUACUAGCACACGUAUGAAAGUCUACCAAAAUUUGGUUUCCAAUAACGGCAAGCCAUUUGAUAAUUCACUUUCUCAAUAACACCCACCAAGAACCCCUAAAUACCAAAGAUCCACAGAAUUGCACCUAAUUUAGUAACCAUAUUCACCAUUAAGGGAGAAUAUGAUUGAAUACCUGGAACAAAAAUCCAGAUUGAUUUGAAUAACAUCCAUUAGGGAUCUAUAUCCCACAACCAUUUUAGUAGCUACACAAAGUAAGUAACCAAACAUGCAAGGACGAGCUUUUGUUAUACUACAAUCCGCAUUCAGGGAACCUGCAUUCUUAACCCAUUAGAAUAGUACACCAUCCUCGAAAGCCUAAACCUCUACGGAAAUCUCAAACUCAUAACGUUUCACUCAAACCUGGAAGCUUUAGGCUACAGAUUUAUAAGAAAUCUAUCAUCUCAGGGACCACCAACAAACAGGAAAAGAAAAAAAAAAAAAGACUUGAAAAAUGAAAACAUCAAACUUAAAUUCAAAUCCUGAUCACAUUGAACAAUAACAAACAACAAAUUGGUACUUAAGCUCUGAAUUUAUCCACGAUUCCUUUUUUAGGGAAGACCUCAAUAUACCAAAAACAUUACGCGCCUAUUGAAAUAGCACAUUAGAAUCUGUGUUUCAAAGCAGCAUGAGGCCUCUACCAAUCUCACUCAGAUUCUAGUCAACUGUGCCUAAAAUCUCAGUCUAAAAUAGUCAAUUCCACUAAAUUUCAACCAAAGCUGGAAACUUUAGACUCCAAACUGAUUACCCAUAUCACCCAAAAACCCUAAAAUCUUAGCAUCCCAAAAAGAACAAAUCUUUUACCACACCACAACCAAUGAGCCGAAAACCCAAUACAGCAAAAUCAAAUUCACAUAGAAGCAAACAAGGAAUUGGGUUAUACAGCGAUGGAAAAAUCGAGGGUACCUAUGGAUGUCCUUCUUCUGAGAAAGCAAGCAUUCGAGAAUGCAUUCCUUGCAGAAGACAUGGCCUUUCUGGCAGCUCAUGGGGUCGAUGAAGGGCUUCAAGCAGAGGCAACAAGCAUCGAAGGGUUUAAUGGAGUCUCUGCCGAGUCUCUCCCUCUGGGUCCCAUAACCGAGCUUCCGCUUCUCGUCAUAUGUGAAGAACGCGAGGUCGUUGUUGUUCUUGGAGUGUCUCUGAGGCAUGUUUGAUGUCUCUGAGAGAUGAAGAAGAUGAUGAUUUAGCUUAUGGUGGGGAUUUGGGGAGUCUGCAGGUCUUUGAUUUUCCGGGAUUGGAAUUUGGGGAUUUUGAAUAAGAGACAGAUGCAGAUGGCUGAUUGCGGAAGCAGCCGACCCGUUAUUUAUAUAUAGGUUGGGCCACGUACGGGAUUCGAUUUGGAAAUAGAUCCGACCCAAUAAAAACGACUACGAUACAAAGUUGAUAGUUAUUAAUUUCUUAUACACAAACACAACGAUCACCGAUUCUCACCAAUUUACAAAAAUAUAUCUGAUCUAGAAAGUUAUGUCACCAUUGUUGUCAUCCAUAUAAAUAGUUUGCAUCCCUCGUCUGCCAAGUGAUCAAGACCUAAUCACAAAUACCAAAAUUAUAUGAUACAAUAACAAUUUCAGUGAAACUCCAAAUUAUAUUGAAUCAACUUUAACCAGCAAAAUUCAAAUAAUUUUAGUCAUCCUCUUUAACAUUCUAUUCAAUUUUUUCUAAUAUCUCAUAUUCGUAAAGAAAAAUCCAUUUACAUAUCAUAAGGGUAAUCAUGAUUCAUAUAUUUAUACUUUUUUCUAAUUUCUAGUAGAUAUUUAAGUCUUAAAUUUCAUCGACAUGUCUGACUUCGUUCAUCCUCAAAUAGAACACUUUCAUGUCAAUAAUCAUGGUCAUAAGAGAAACAUGACUUAUAACUUCAUACAUAUCUUCUUGUGCAUGUAUCGAUUUGCACUAUUCUAUCCUAGCUACGACGCUAUCAAUCCUACGGAUGAUAAGAUAUUUCUUUAUUAUCUUUUUUUUUAAUUACCUAAUUAUCAUUAUUUUUGAGAUAAUAAUUAUCAAAUUAUACCAAAAAAAAAAAAAAAAAACUAAAGCUUGAACAUUUUCACCUGCACAGUGAUCCUGUGACAUUGACAGUCUUCUUCUUCCUCACUCUCACUCAAAAACCUCAGCUUCCUUCUCUCUCUCUCUCUCUCUCUCUCUCUCAAUCAAACCAAACCUCGAUGGCUUCUCCGAUAAAGAGCCCAUCAUCUUCAGAACCAGAGCGCCACCACUCCGCCUCCGCGAUCGUCGUCCAACCCACCUCCCCGCGCUUCCCUCCCACCGGCACCCCCACCUCCGGUGCCCAGCGCCGCAUUGGCAUCGCCGUCGACCUCAGCGACGAGAGCGCCUUCGCCGUCACCUGGGCCGUCCAGAACUACCUCCGCCCCGGCGAUGCCGUCGUCCUCCUCCACGUCCGCCCCACCUCCGUCCUCUACGGCGCCGACUGGGGCGCCACCGACGUCUCCGUCCCUUCCGACGAGGCCUCCCAGCAGAAACUCGAGUCCGAUUUCGACCGCUUCACCGUCACCAAAGCCAACGACCUCGCCAAGCCUCUCGGCGAGGCCAAGAUCCCGUUCAAGAUCCACAUCGUGAAGGAUCACGACUUGAAGGAGCGGCUCUGCUUGGAGGUCGAGCGGCUUGGUCUGAUCGCCGUCAUUAUGGGCAGCCGGGGCUUCGGAGCCACGCGGCGGAGCUCCAAUGCUAGGCUCGGCAGUGUUAGUGACUACUGUGUGCACCACUGCGUCUGUCCGGUCAUUGUCGUUAGAUUCUCCGAUGUGGAGGACGGAGACGACAAUGCCGUAAAGGUUUAUGAAGAGGAGCCGGAGUUCCAUGACGCUUUGGAUAAAGGUCAGCAUUCAUAUGCAUAGUAUAUGAUUUAGUAUUAGUUGAUUAUGGUGAAAAUUUAAUUGACUUGUGGUUCAAGUUUGGUGCUUGGAGGUAUAGUUCACUCAGCAUUUGAUGGUUAGGGGGGUGUAUUGUAUUUAGAUUUAUACAUACUUAUUUCAAUCAACAGACUUUUCGAAAUGUCUACUGACUCUUUGAAAAGUUCAUAGACUUUCACUGAUUUCUUAAAACCAUCGAUUUUUAAUCACAGACUUUCACUGAUUUAUGAAUAUAAAUGACUUAUGUAGAUUUCUCAAUACUUACAAUUACAGAAUUCAAUGAAAAACACAAAUGAAACCGAUUAUAAGUUUUUAUUGUUCAUCUAUCUAAUUUCGAUGCAUUCAGUUGCAAUAUUUGAUUGAGAUACAUAAACAUAGGUGACGCAAAAGAUUAUAUUAACUUAUAUUACCAACACGCAUACUUGUACGUAAAUCAAGGACUACUUGACGCAUGUUCUAAAGUGGGAUAUUAGAUGUUCACAUUCAUGUACGCAAUUAUAUAAUACAUGAUCAUGUAAUUCUAGAAUCAAGAGUUAGUAGACAGAGGAAGUGUCAUUUCAUUUUUGGAUCUAGAACAAAUACGUUCAAGAGACAAGAGAAUUAAUGAUACCCACCAGAAAGACUAAUCCAAUCCAUAAUAAUAUUUAGGUUAUCGAGGGUUCUAAAGCAUCACAAUUGAAGACAAGAAAAAUAUUAACAUUCAAUAAACAUUGAAAAGAAUAGGUAGAAGAACGUUAAUAACAUAGAAUAUUAUAAAAAGGAAAGAAAAAAAGAAAGAUGAUGUAUCGCAGGAUCAACCUAUUCAUAUGUAAAGAGAAAGUCUAUCGUAGACUUUUCCAAAUCUUUGCCUUGGUGGAUGGAAAAGUAUUAGAGUUUGGUGUGUGUAAUUUACACUACAAAGUCCAUAGUUAUCCAUGAGUUACUAAUUCCAUAAGAAUGAAUGACAUUUUGAAAACUUCUAUUCAUUUUAAAAAGUCUUAAUUGAAUACCCCUGGACUUUGGUGGAAUUCAUAAUGAUUUUUUAAAAUCUAGUUGAAUACACCCAGACUUUGAUAGAUUUUGACUUUGAUAGAUUUUUAAAAGUCUGAAUUGAAUACACCUAGACUUUCAAAUUCUAUAGACUUCUUCAAAUCUUCCACUAAUUCCACAUACUUACUGAUGGUGCAUUGGAUUUGAUCCUAGUUUACGUUUACUAAUCUAGAAACCCUCGGUAAUACUAUAGUUUUAAAUAAAUUGUUUGGCACCCGUUAGACAGAAAUAUUUUGUCGAAUGGUUUCGUGUUUUGGGAAGUAAGUUAAACGUGAGAGUCAUGCACCUUCUUAUCGCCUUUCAUUAUGUUUGUUGAAUGGUUUUGUGGUUGAGGACGUACAUAUGUUAGAGGACAUCAAUUUAACAGGAGCAUGAAUAGUAUAACCUACCGUUGAUAGUUCCCACAACAAGUAGGCAGAGUUGGCUUGGUAUACCUAAUCUGAAUUAUGGAGUGACUUGAUCAGCAUUUAGCAAAUUGAAACUUCCAAGUUUUUGUUUGCUUAAGUUAUUGUAUCAGUACAGUUAUGGAAUGCUUGGGCAGCUCUUCUACAUGCCAGGUAUGGUGAUAGACAUUCUUAAAUAGGGAAAAUUUUAAUGUCUGAUUUUUUGGAGGAGCUUUCAAGUGGUUUGGCAUUCCCUUUUCUUUUCCUUCUUUUUUCUUGGUAUCUUGAAUAUUGACAAGUCUGUUUGCUCAAACAGUAGUUUGGAUGGUGUGUUUACUUCUGCAACAAUCUACCCUUUUGGCAACCAACAUUCCUGUUAUUCAAUAUUCCAACUACCAAAAAAAAAAAAACAAUUCUAACUACAAAUAAAAGAACUUAUAUGUUGUUGCCAGAAUAAAACAAAGUAUAAGGUGCUCCAAAUAAGUUAGUGUACAAGUGCAAUAAAUUAAACUCGGAAAUUGGAUGCAGCCAACAGUCUAGUAUUUAUAGGAGCGGGCCUUGCUGGUGCUUCAUACUUUCAGAUACCUACUGCCAGUUGGGGAAGUUGUUUAAGUAUCCCAAGGUAGAUAUAAAUGUGUAACUUAACUUGUACUACUUUCCGUGCUGUUAUGUGGGUAGCAAUUUAAAGUCUCCUUUAUGAUGUGUUUAAUCUGCUAGAAACUAAUGAUGUAAGAACCACUGCACAAGAGAUUUAUGAAUCAUGUUGAUGUUAGGUAAGUGUUUGAUGAGUGAUUGAAUCCUACCCAGUACAUUCUAUGUAUUUUUAUUGUGAUUUAAAGGUAGAUGUUGUUAAAUUGGAUAGUUAUCUUCUCCAAGGCAUUUCCUGGUUCAUUUCAGCAAACCUGUCAACCUCCUUUGCCCUGGUAGGUUCUAUAAGCAGAAUGAUGAAAUGUGUAGAUCAUACAUGUUCAUCCCAGUAAUCUGGAUAUAUGCCAAUAUUUCUGUCAUAUUUACAAACACAAUGUACUAUACUUCGAGUCAUAGUUCUUGGGGACCUUAUUUUUGGAACCAUUUCCUUCACUGAAACCAUCCAAAUCGCAACAAUUCAAAGGAAAAAAAAAAAAAACCUUGUUGUCAAUUGUCAUACCCAAUUAUCCAUAGAAACCUUUUAUCAAUGAUUGUGUUGAAGCUUCAUGGUGCAUUUCAUAUUUCAUGCCUUGCAGAUACGGAUAAGGUUCGUUGAAAAGGUAGAGAUGGUGAAGCGCAUUCGGAUGUUUAUCAAGUACUCCUGGUUCGUGUGUAAUCAUGUCGUCAUGUUGUAUGGAAAAGUUUGGCAGUAACCAAGUCUACUGAUCUUUGUUUCAACCGCUUUUUCACAGCGUUGCCGUAUGUUUAUGAAGCUCGGGGAUGUUGAUGAAUAAUGGAUGAUUUCAAUUUCAAUCUUGUUCCUUUUCACCUUUCUGAGUAUAAAAAAUGCAAAUGAAGUAGAUGGUUAUGAUCUUAUGAUAACAAUUCAUAAGUUGGGUCUAUGAAGAUUGCCUAAUCUUAUUACUUUGAUAGCUUUAUGGGUAUAAUGCUUGGUCCCUGAUGUUAAGAUUCCAUUGUUUUGGCAAAUCAUGUAAGCAAAAUGCAGGAAGACCGUCAUUCUUGUAAGUUUAGAUAGAGAACAAAAAUACAAAAGGCUUGAGCUUUGUCCAUGUAAAACGUGGGGCAUAUAUAUAAACGGCCACAAUUCCAGGUUCUAGAUGGGCUGACAGAGAGGAAGAUCUCAAUUCAAAGCUGGCAUGCACAACAAAUAGAUCAAAAACUGUGCAGACCUUUGUUUUGGGGAAACAAGAAUCCAAAUCUCUCACAUCUCCACAGGUGUUGAAAUUUUCAAUCGGAUGGACCAUAGCCACAUAAAUCAUCAUGGUCUCCCCUCUACAGGCAAACAAUUUCACACCAGGACUAGUGAGCUCUGGGCCCUUCUUGAUUCCUUCCAUUAAAGCUUAAUGUUAGUUUAGAAGUAGCUUUCUUAUUCAUCGCUAAUCAAUUUGUAAGUAAAUGAUUAUACUAAUUCGAAGAGUUAUGGUAAGCACGUGAACAUGUCCCAAGAGCCCCCACCUCCCAUCCUUUCGGUUUUUGGGAUUUACACUAAGAGUAUUAUUCCAAACAUAUUAUGACUUUUAAGGUAUUCGAACUUCAAACUUUUAGUAGCUAAAAAUGUUGAUGGUUCGAUCAAAACAUAAAAGACUUGUUAUAGUAGAGUUUCACAAUAGCAAACAAUCCUCCCUUCCUGAAUCUAGUAACAACCUGCUUGAAACAAACCUCCCCAGUUUGAUCCAAUACUCCCCUUAUAAUAAUCAGAAUACAUCAAUCUAUGCCACAUUCUCUUGUUGUUGAGUAUAGACAAUACUAUUUGACUUAUGUAUUACUCAUCUUUAAAACAUAUUAAAUCUCAGCCUAACAUGGUAGACAAAGUGAAGCAGGAAGCCAUUACUUAAUGUCAAAUCAUGCUACUUGCCAAAUUGCUGGACAGUUAACCAGUGGCUUUUCAUGCAUAUGAAACAAUGAACACUAUUACCACCAUAGAUCAGAGCUUAAUUUCUGCUUGUUUAUUUUCUGAGACCCCACUUAUUAUCACUCAAUCACUUAAUCCAUAGGUGGAGGAAAAUUAGCACUAAUGGAUUUCUUACAGAGUAUGCUGGUUGGAGAACUUUGAUUUCUGCACUAAUCUCAAAUGGGGUGGUCUAGAUUGAGCUCCACCACCCAUUGAUUCCACCAAAGACUAAUGUUAAGUACAAUAAUCAAAGAAAAGCAAAGCAAUAUGUCAUUUAUACAGAUGAUGAUUUGCUGAAAAGAUGAAAUUGUGAGAACUGAGUAGGAUUGUAAGGAUCCAAAUGAAAUGGAAGUUAAAAGCUUACAAUGACUUAAAGACAAAGAAAAUUAACCUUAGUAAAGUGUUCAUCCAUCAAGUUCUCGAAUUAAAUUUGGUUCUUCACUUGUUGCUUCCUUCAUUCAUUCUGGGUCGAACUUUUCAAGAUAUCGGUUCCAGUACUGCAGCAGUUCUCAUCUUUCUGUUAUUAAAGAUGAUCGGAGAAGGAGAUACAGGAUCUGCAAGAUCUUUAGAUGAAGAAAUCGCGAACUUGGUGUGCAUUGUAGCGCCUGCGCUUACAUGGAUAUGAUGAUCUUGAUCUUGACAAGCUUUCAUGGCAACAUUCUUCAUCACUUAAAGAGCUUGAGUCUGGUGGAGUAGAGGAGCUAGAUGACCAUGGAACAACUUGAUUCCCUUCAUCAUCAUCAGCAUUACCACCAUCAUCAUCAUUAGCACCAUUUUCACCUCCAUCAUGAUCAUCAUUAUCUUCUCCGAUGCUAUUUUCUUCUUCUUCUUUUUCUCCUCCAUCUUCAUCAUCAUCACGUUCUUCGUCUUCUUCGUUUCUGGACUCCUUGUUUGAAACACAAUUCUCACAAACUGAAACAGUAUUAGGACCAAGCUUGGGUCCACAGGCAUUCCAUGGAGUUAGAGAUUGACAGACAUGGCAUAGCAGAGUCCUUGAAUGCUUGGCCACCAAGAAGUUUGCACCAUGAACCUUGAUGUCACAAUCCCAACAUAAACUAGCUUGAUCUGAUUCACAGUACAUCUUUGCCGCAGAGUCACACAACUCACACUUCUUCAUUUCUCUCCCUCUCUCUCAAUUUGAUUCCUCAAGCAGAUCUCUUUAAUUUGUCUGUGUUUUUAAGCCCUGAAGUGUUUCUGUGCAUGUGUAUAUAUAAAGGAAGAGAAUUGGAAAACAUGGUGCAGGACAUUUAUAUUCAAAACCAGCCCCUGUUUUAGUUUUUCUAAGAGAAGGAUUAAACUUUAUUUUAUAUAGUUUUUUUUUUCUUUUUCUGAAAGGUAUUGUAUAUAGUUUGUUUCCUUCAAAAGAGGGAGAAAGAAAAUGCAUCAGUCACUAUCACUCAUCACUCCUUAAGUACGGGUUAUUUUAUUGCCAAGAGAGAAAAAGAUAGAAGACAAUACAAGGUAAAGCCUUGGAGAUAUAAUACAUACAACUCAUACACGUACAAUAUUAUUGGUUUGAAAACAAAUUAUAAAGAAACUGCAUAUGUAACAAGUGGAUGUGAUAUCAAAUUAUCAAUAAUACGAUUACGAUUACGAUUACGGUUACGGUUACAAUUCUAAUUAGCUUUACGAUUACUUUUAUACUACUUUUGUCACAUAUGUAGUACAACGAUGUCGUUCGUCAUCAAGUCACAUCUUAGUUAUUGCUCAACAUAAAUGUGUUUUUGUAUCUUAUUAUCUUUUAUUAAUUUUCCAUUAUAAAUAUGUCUUCUGUGCAUGUUGCUAUGCUUUAUUGUUUUCACCAUGUACUCCUCAGUUAUCAUUCCUCAAUUAUCAUUUAAUAUAGCUUUUCGUCUUCUCUUAAAGAAAAAUACAAACAACAUUUCAAGAAAGUCUCUUUUAGAAACUCGCAAAGCUUGAGUGUAAAAAUUCACAACAGUACUUGUACAUACCUAUACUUAAAGAGCUUUCAAUCGUAUGGUAAUAGUAAAAGAAGAACCCAAAAUGUAUUGUAUGAAAAGUCGAUAAAUAGUUGCAACAACAAUGAGGCUAAGGAUAUUUACAACUUUUGUUGGUAUACUGGAUAUAAAUCAUAGAAUUAGGUGAUGAAAUGUUAAAAACUGUUGAGCAUGCACCACUUAAAAUUUGACACAUCCUACGCCAUUAUGGGCAUCGUACCCAUUGUUUCUCUUCCAGAAAGUACCCACAUCCCUAUGAAUUUAGGACACAUACCAAGUCCAAUAAUGGAAACUGGAAAGAACCGGACAACUUAGAAGGUACACAGGCGUCUGAAUUAUUGCAGUCAACUAGCUAGAACUCCAUUCAAUUUCGUGGAGUGUACUCUCGACGGAGUGGAUUCUACGCAUUAAAGUGUGUUUACACUAUUAAUAUGUAAGUUCUUAAAUUAUCGUAUACAAAGAUCGAAUAAAGAUUAUAUAUAGACCCUAAAAUUAUUUAUUUCAUUUUUAUUUUUAAUCUAAUCAAAUUAAGUACUCAUAAUAAAAAUACCUUUUAUCCAAUCUCAGGUCCUCACCUCCUGUGUUGGAAACACUUAUGACUAUUUUUUUAGAUUUCAAUUUUAUUAGCUGUAUUAGAAUACAUGCAUAAUAAUGCAACGUGGAUGACUAUAUGACUAUUUUUUUAGAUUUCAAUUUUAUUAGCUGUAUUAGAAUACAUGCAUAAUAAUGCAACGUGGAUGACUAGAUUAAAAUAUUACAUAUUAAUUGUUCGGUUCACUUGCACUUUGGUGCGUAGAAUAAUUUUCGUCAUUUACAGGGUUUGAGAAAUGAGAUGGACGAUGUGAGAGUUCUUUGGAUUUUGAACAAAUUCUCAUCAUUUAAGUGACCAGUUAAACUUGGUGGGAAUCUCACCUUCAGGUAGUUGGCACCUGCCUGUAAUCGAUCUGCAGUUGUUAGUGAUGAUUCUUUAAUGGUAUUAUGAAGCCUCGACUGUAACCAAAAACAUAGUGAGUGUCUAUGUUAUACGAAGAGUAAAAGCAGUUUUUAUACAAGCCAAAUAAUUAUUGCGUCACCUGACAAGUAAAAUUAUUGGAGAAUACAAAAGGUAAAAGCAGUAUUUAUACAAGCCAAACAAUUAUUGCAUCACAUACGCUGAAAAUCACACUGAAAUGUAGAAGCCGCAAAAAAUUGGAAAAAAAAUCUCCCCUUGAUGGAAAAUAGCUGUGUUGCACCGGAUAGGUCAACAUCAGAUGAAUGGCCCUUCCUGUUUUAGCUCCGAGGAAGCCCGAGUUUGAGAGACAUGGUGUUCUCAGAGGAGGAGGAGUCAUCUGUGGACGAAGUGGAAGAGCCAGUAGUGAAGCAGCUAGUGGAAAUUGUGCAAGAUUCUGAUGCCAUACCUUGUUCAUCAUCAUCAGUUGAGAUCCCCGACGACUCCAUAGAUAGCAGCGUUCUUAAGCUCUGCCUUAUUAACAGGUUGUUUUCUUCUGCCAACUCUGCUCCUUUUGUUUCAAGUGCCCGAAUCUGACUCCUAAUCCUCUGAUCCUUAGUUUCAAGUACUCGGCUAAGUCCUCCUUCAAUCAUUUUCUCCAAUCUCUGCAACUCAUCUAUAUCCAGCUCUUCUAGAUCCUUCCCCUCCAUAUGCCUUAGCUCGCGGAUCUUUUCCGCAAGCUCCACAUUCAACCUCAUCAUGCACUCAUCAGCUGACUCCUCUACUCCAUCAUCUUUAGUGCACUGUUUGUACCUUGCAAUAAUAUCCUUCGUGCUGGAUCUGGAUAACUCAUAGAGCUUGUCAGUAGAAGAGAAGACAAUGACAGCAACCUUAGCGUCGCAAAGAACUGAUAACUCUCCGGCUUUCUUGAACAGCCCUUUUCUCCUCUUCGAAAACGUCACCUGCCUCGCCGGCAGGCUCUCUAUCUUCUCGAUCUUUAUCUUAUUCAUCGUAAAUUUGGGAGUGUAAAUUUCACUGCCCUAGCUGCUCAAUUGCUGUGUUGGUGGUGCAGAACUGAAGCCAACAGGGACAGAAAGAGCAGGAGGUCAAGGAGGUCAAAUAAUUGUAAACCCAAUAGGGAGGGAAGGAAGAAAUUAUAGAGGAAUUAUUCAUCGGUCCCCACAGGUCAAUGUGACAUGAUGCUCCAGAUCAACCAGCGCGUGACACGUGUCUACCUGCUAAAGUAACAAGGGGAAAUUAUCAGUUAGAAACACCCUACGGUAGAGUCACGUGGUGUUUCAGGUACAUGGAAUAACUACUCAGUAUUAAGAUUAUGUCUGACGUUUGACGGCUUCGUUACUUGUCGUUUAAGAACUGAAGCGUCAAAGAUUGUUCACCGCUUAACCUAAACUCACGUCUAUUCACCAGAACAAUAUCAUGAUCCUAAAUUUCUUUGAAUGAAAACCCUAAACGGGAGAAAACGAAGCCGUUACACGUCAGACAAAAUCCUAUCACUUCAGCAAUAAAUCACGUGUUUAUUGGCUGGGACCAUCAUGUCAGCUUGACCAGUGGUGAUCCAGGAUCGAUGAAUGAUUUCUCUAUUAAUAUGAUGUAAGAAAUUCAUUAUAAGAAAUAAAUAAAAAGACUAAAAGUAUUAUUAUUGUUAUCAAUAUUAUAAUCUAUGUGAUUAUCCACGUAAUUACUCAUUAAUUAUGUACUAUGAUGUAAACUUUACCUCUAUAUAAGGAGGUUAAUAAGAAUGAAUGAUAACACUUCUACCUCCUCUUAAUUAUUCUCUCUGUGUCUUCUCUUUAUAUUUUCUUUAUUUCCAACAAUUAUAAUACGUUCCAACUCAUUUUAGUUGUUUUGACUUCAUUUGGACUUUGGAGUGACGUUUCUUAUCUUGAACAAGUUAGUAUCCGUGGUUUUUCAAGGGUGGAGGGCUUCCAAAUACCAAGAACAUAGUACAUGCGGGUGUUCCAGGUAAAUGAUAAUAAGCUAGCUAUAGGUAGGCGAGGAGAGAAACCUGUGGGUUUGAAUUUGGUAUUGGUUUAAUUGGUUGUCCCUCUACUCCUUUUCACCUCAAUCCAUGCAUGCAUUGAACUUGGAAGAAGAAGAGCAAACAAGUGGCCGGAAAACCAUAGCUAGCUACUUGGCAAUUUGGCAUUCCCAAAUUCGACGUACCAAUUCUGGUUACCUAGCUGCGCACAAACAUUUGCGGCUGAGCUUUGACUGGUUUCUACUACAUCUAGCUGCUAGAACACACAAAGAUGUAGUGGGUUCGAAUAUGCGGUAGACAUUUAUUAUGUAGCUAGUGGAUCGCAACUGCUAGACUUCCAUCCUCUUUGGAAGUCUGGGGGUUGGCUUGGUCUCUGUGUGCUGUGCUACUAUAGCUAUGUAUUAAUGAAUAGGAUGUCAGACUAGCAAAAUUUGGCGGCCGCAAAGACGAAUAAAGAAGUAAACUGAAGUCGGUGAUGCGCUUAAUUUGACACCGCUAAGUUCCAUAGUAUCAAUACUCUGGAGUAUUAUGCAUUCUACAUUUGUCGUUUGUCACACACUCAUACAGUUACACAACGUUUUAGAAAGAUUGUAAACUUGCAUUCAUCUCUUUAUUUCUUUUGUGAGAUAAAUAUUACUUCAAGAGCUUAGGAUUUCAAUUAUGACAUCCUGCAUUAUCAAUGGGAUGAUUUGCCUCAAAUUUUGAUGUUAAUGUCAAUGGUGUUGCUUCAAUCAGCUUUCCCAUGAACUAAUUGAUUCAAGACAUGGAACUGUGGAAGUCAUCCACGAUCUACCUACAUAAGUACAUAUACCUAUAUGGGUGACUAGAGAAGAAGCACCCUUGCUUCACCUCAUAUGAGGUCUCACUCUCAGGCCUAUUAUAUUAGAAGUGACGGACCCAACUUAAUCUUCUACCUAGUUGCUCUUGUACGUGAUCAUCAAUUAUAUACAGAUCAAUGGGCUAGACUGCUGGUAAAACCACAUUUCAUAGUCCUCUCUAUUAACCAGACUCAAAGAAUUUUGUUACUGCUGCAUAUAAUUGUUCUUCUUCAAAUGGCUUUGACACGUAUUCAUCCAUCCCACGCUUCUUGCACUCUUCAAUUGAAGCCUGAACCACAUCAGCCGUCAUGGCUAAUAUUGGUGUGUGCCAAUCUUCCACAUUGCCAAACAUCUUGAUUGGUGCUUCCCCAGAUGCAAUUUUCUCCUUUACUUCAUCCUCCAUACAUCGGAUUCGACGAGUUGUUUCGAACCUGUAUAAUAAAGACAGUAUUAAAAGUGCAAUCAGUACUCUAAAAGGAGGAAUAUAGAAUGGGAGAAAUUUGCUAUCAUACGCACAACACCUAAAGUUCUCCCUGAUCUUUCCUUUAUAUGAAAAUGAACAAGAUAGUAUAUACGUAAAAUUUCAGACCUCCGAUUUUCAAAAAAAAAGAAAAAGAAAAAAAAGACCUCUACACUUGCUAAACUUGAAGAACCAACAUAUAAGAAAUGCCUAAGCAGUAAGCAAAUCAACCAGUAUACAAGCAAAUCAACCAGUAUACAAUAAAUUGUGCUGCCAAGUCAUUCACAAUCUGACAUUUGGCCUCGAUGAAUCCAACUGAGGCAGCAAUCAGGUGUUCUAUAAAACAACGGUCGUAAACCUUUCCUUGGUAUCCUUAAGUAUGUAGGAUGUAACCUUUUAUUCUUUUGUAUUCAAAUAUAAACACAAAUUAGAGAACAGAUACCAAGCAGAUUGAUUACCCGUCCAUUUCUGGCAUUUGGAGAUCCAUAAAGCAAGCGUCAAAGUUGUGAGGUGGCUUAAGCAUGUCUAAAGCAGUCUUUCCACUAUCGACACAGGUGACAAUUGCUCCAUAUUUCUUUAAAGCACCUUCUGCCACUCUUCUGUUGACUGCAUUGUCAUCCACUACCAAAAUCUUCCUGCCUCGUAGUAACUUUCCAAGAGUUGGUUUUUCUAUGUUCACAAGCCUCUUUUUAUCGCUUACAAGGGCCUCUUGGAAGCAGGCAAUUAAGACACUUAACCGAAGAGGCUUCAUCAAUACAUUAUCUACAAAACCAGAAGAUUUUAGUUCAUUACGUUCAGUAGCACUAAUGGAGGUAGCCAAGAGAAAUAUCUUCGGAAAGUUCAGGGGAGACCCCACGCUGCAAUUUUGCCUAUGCUCUUUAACUGACUGAUGGAAUGUAAGACCAGUUUCUUUAUCCCAAACAUCUUUGUCAAUAAGAACCAUGGCCAAACAUGUGGACAGGCUGCAUGCAGGAAAGUUAACAGUGCAUUAGUAAUAUCAAACAGAUGCUGAAUAGUUGCUCGUAGAAGCUUCACAGAACUCAAAUUAUAUAUUUAAAUACCCUAUUCUUUAUCAAACUUUCAAAAAGAAAAUAUUGGUUCUCUUUCUUUUAUGAUGGAUGUGCCUUGAGAAGAAAAAUGAGAUAUUAGACCACUUUUUCUUUGCUUUUCUACCAAUAUAAUUAACAGCAGUUUCGCUUUUUGGGGGAAAAGCCAAGAAAUAUUAGUUAGUAGCAAUAAGUUUGUCCAUCAUUUCUUCUCGGCUCCUCUGUUUUAAAGUCAAGAGAAAGCAAGGAAACUUGCAACAGUUUCAAGGAGCUCGAUGAUUAAUUUUCUUUUUAAUCAAAAUUUUCUAAGUCCAUCACAUAAGAAAAUGUGUCAUGUUUAUCAUAAUAAAAUGCUACAGAAGAAUGUUAAAAACUUCUACAUGCAAUGAUUUGUUUCAGGAUAUGAAUUUCUUUCAUUUGUUUUCUUGUUGAAGUAUAUGAAAAUUCCUCUACGAAUAAACCCAUAAUUGAAAAGGUAAAACUCACCUUGUCUUGCUCGUACUAGACAGAUAAGAACAUGCUGAUUCUAGACUGGAUGCAAUAUCUGCAGUUAUCCUCAAUCUCUGCAUAUGAUAUCUCGUGACUUCAGUUCGGGUGAUUCUCUUAUCUAUUACCAGUGCUCUCAUUCCUCGAAAUUCUGACACAGCUGGUUUAUACUGGGCCCACUUCGUAUCUAGAGAACUUGUUUUUCCUCUCUCAAAUGACCCAGUAAAUGAAAAGGUACUGCCAACGCCAGGAACACUCACAAACCCUAUCUCCCCACACAUGAGAUCUACCAGACGUUUGCUAAUGCUCAAUCCAAUUCCAGUUCCACCAUAAGUUCUAGAAGUGGAACUAUCAGCCUGCAUAAAAGGUGUGAAGAUGCGACUUUGUGCUUCUAAUGGAAUACCUACACCAGUAUCCUCAACUGUUACGAGUAAUUUUAUCAUAUCAGGUUCCUCCACUGUUGUGCUGCUUAAAGUUUUGAAACAUUCCCAGCUUUUCCUUCUAUCAACCACAGGAAAGCCACUCAAUGUAUUAUAAGUUUUGUUUGAGAGGUCUCCAACUAAAUUCAAGCCUUGUCUUAGAACUUCAUCCAUAAAAUCAGGUGGACCCCUCACUUCAUUUGCCAGAUGCACCGAGACAAAUAUAUGUCCUUUAUCAUGGGUGAACUUCAGUUCAAACAAACAAACAAUUAGCACAGCAAUUAAAACAUAUUAACUUUUCUGAAAUGUAGAAAUGAACAAAGAGAAGGGAAGAGUUAUCUCCAAACAAACAUCAGGAAACAUAUCUAACCUUAAUAGAAUUCCCAACCAAGUUAGUAAUUAUCUGCCUAAGGCGUCCUGGAUCUCCAAUGACAACUUCUGGAACCAUAUUGGAGACAUAAACAGCCAACUUUUCUCACACAAAACAAAACCAAAAACCAUAAUUUUGUAAGAACUGAUAUAAAUACCACAGAAAGAAUCAAAUAAGAAUGCUAUACUUUGAUUUUUUUCCUUUUUUUCUUUUUACCUCAACCCCUUUUUCAUUCGUUUUUCCUGAGAAAAGUGAUAGCACAUUAUCAAGCACCGAUCGUAGAUCAAAAGGUACAGUUUCAAGUUCCAGCCGUCCUGAUUCUAUCUUGGCCUGAUCAAGAACCUCAUUUAUAAGCGAGAUAAGAUCUCUUCCACUAGCAAGAGCAGUCUCAGCAUAAUCUUGUUGAUUUGCAUCAAGAUUUGUGUCCAUCAGCAUUUGCAGCAUACCUGGAUUUUGAUAGGAGAACCAUCAAAAUAUGUAAACUUGUAAGUUUUGCAAAAUAGUAACUGUUUCACAAAGAAUUUUCUCCCUUACCUAAAACACCAUUCAUUGGUGUCCGGAUUUCAUGGGAAACAGUUGCAAGGAACUGCAGUAGAGAGAGAAGUCAGGCAACAUGAACAGACAGAAAUGUCUUCUAAUUGACAAAUAACUAUAGGUUGAAGGAGAAAUUUUUAUAGCUAACCGAAAAAGAAAAAAAAGACAACUUGUACCUGAGAUUUGGCCACAUCUGCAGCUUCUGCGCGAACUUUGAGUUCCAUCAUCUCACAAAAGUCUGCCUCUACCUUUGCUAUUUGGCUUAUGGCCGCAUAAAAUAUAUGACCAAGUAGAAAUGUAAUGACAAGAAAUGCUACUGAUGCACUUACUGCCGUCCACGGAAAAGGAGGUUUAUGCUUAAACCUGCAAUCCAAAUGAAACUGUUUUCAUUGGAAAAAUAAAAAAUAAAAAAAUAAAAAAAAUAAAAUCCACUUAUUGAGGCUGAUUUAUAAAAUUAAAGAUCUAUCGGAUCUAACCUGCAGUGCAUUUCAUGUUUGCGUUGUGGAUCACCGAAAUCAAGGCUGCUAAUAUGCAACAGCCCAGUAUCAACAACAUCAGUUCCAUACAUGUUGAUCAGAGAAGACGCGUUAGUUGCAUCAUAAACAUUCACAACAAUUGUUUGCUUUGUUGCAAGUUGGUGCAGGAGCUUCUCCACAAGAGAUGGAACAUCGUAAGAUGCACCUAAAUACCUAUUAUAAAGCAUUAUAGCAAUUAUUAAGAAAAAAGAAAGAAAAAAAGAGUAAAAAAAAAACACAUGGUUGCAAAUGUACCCCACAGUUGCUUGAAUUCGUUCUUCUGAUGUGGCAUCUGGAGGCAAGUCGAUAUUAUACACAGCAAAUGUGAGAACAACACCCAGGUGAUUGGAUUUCAAUAGCUUAAAAGGGGAAGUCAGUACUCCCUUUCCUGUUGACCUUGCUCGCAAGAUGUUCUCACGGUCAUCCUACAUUGUUUAAUCAACAAUUUUUAACAUCAGCAUACGUGAAUGAUUAAUGGAAAUUAGAAUAUGGCUUCGGAAAAACUGACUGUAAACGCAAUUAUUAAUAUAUUCUGUACACAAGUUUGAUGACACCAUGGACUAUGGGUAGAUACAGCUCCUCAUUAAAAGGGGCUGGCUAUAACUAAAAAAGAACUGACCAAUAAGUAGGUCCACAAGAACCAAAAGUGUGUCUUUUGAAACCACAUCACCAUGACAAAGCAAAAGAAUCAAUAACUAUAUACAACAUACACAUGCAGAUUCUAAUCUAUCGAAGAUGUACUAAUUUUACAUUCCAAUAUGGUUUUAAUUUAGUAAAGACAUACACAGGAACAAAGGAGUUGAAGAUGUAAGUGUUAAGAGCCCUGGGGUACAGCAGGCAAUAUUUUUUUAAAUGAAAAUAGGAGAGAGAGACAGAAAGAAGAAAGAAAAAAGGCAAACCUUUCCCGACAUCAUGUCAAUGGAGACAAUAUGGGAGACCGUUUCUUGAGAAAAUAUCACUGGUGCAUAUUCAUCUUGAAUAGGAGCAGGAUCCAAGCUUUCCGGAAGAAAAUCUUGGACAAGAGUCUGGUCCUCAGUUUCCAUUUUCUUUAUUGUCCAUCCAUGUUCCCUCUCAAAUUGUUCCCUCUCAGCAUGAGUAACUUUUAAAGCAUAAGCAACACCACUAGUGAGUGGUCUCUCAAAAGCUGUUCUUUCUGUGUAUUCACCGAACGUUUUCUGUUGAAAAAAAAAUAUAUAUAUCAUUCACAAUCACAUAGCAGAUCAUAGGAGUAAAGUCACUGCUUUUUUGCGUUCUUCCAAAUUCUUCUUUAUAGUAUAAAAUCCUUGAAUCGCAGUUAUACAGCAGCUAAUAAGCUGAGUAAAGGCAAUGGAACAAAUGACCACCCCAUCCCUUUAAAGUUAUUUAUAUAUAGACCACAUAUAGACCAAAAAAGGGAUGGAAGUCAUGGAACUACAAUAUGAUAUUCAGUAAAAGCGCCAAUUAACUAAUACGGUAUUGUCAACUGUUUAAUAUAUGUAGGUGUGUGUGUGUACAAAACCCUUUGCAUUUACAUUUAUUUACUGCGAUGCUCAAAACUUGUUUACCUAUCCUAGAGAUAGAAGCGGUGCUUAAAGACUUGCAGUACUAUACUCUGAGUGUAUAACUCACUAGUAACACACGUCUUAAAAUAUAUAUUUCUAAGAUGGAUUCAUCAAAACAUUGGUUUUGAUUCACAAUUAAAGCAAUCUGGAUGCCACUGAAAUGAGUUAUUCUAUUGAUAUGAUUGAUGACUUGAGAAAUAUAAUCCAGUAACCCAAAAGCAACAUUAGGGUAGGUAGGGCACAUACCUGAUCAAUGGCAGAAGGAUGCUUCCCAUGGUGAAACGUGGAGACAAGAAUGGCUAAAGCAUGAACAUGAUUCAGGCUCACAUUGAACUGAUCUUGCAACAUUCGGGCUCGUUCAUCACACAUGUUGGCAAGUGUUUCUUCUCUCCACAAAAAAUCUAUUUCAUUCAAGUAGAAAAAUAACCAAAUUGACACAAGAGCUCCAAGUACGACAAAUACGAUUAGGAGCUUCUUCCUCCAAGUGCAUGCGACCUUUCGAGGACUUUGGGUUUGUUGCUGUUUCUCUGGCAGCUUCCUACUACCGAAUGACUGUUCUUGAACCAUUUUCUGCUGGCAGGAACACCCACGAACCAGCUUCUGCUUCUGGUUCCUCCAUAAUUGGUAGCACAAAUUCAUCCCAACAAAAACCAAUGAACAUCCCAUCAUCAAACCACAAUCAAUAUGAGAAUCCACUUUUGCGCACUCUACCUUUGCGCCUGAUCCCAAUGCGUCCUAAUAAAAGCACAAGCAAAAACAAACAAAAAAGAACUCAGAUUAGUAUAUUCUUUCCAGAUUAGAAAGACUUGUAAUGUACUGGAGAUUAUCCUCAGAUAAACAAUCCCUCAUCUAUUUUUUUUUACAAAUGUAACUAUACGAAUUUGGACUGUGGAAAGCGUAUUAGAUGCAUGUCCAUGAAAGAUAUCAUACCUAUGACUCAAGUAGGACAGAACAAUGAAAAGAACAUAAGGGUCCAUGAGGUUCCAUUUAGAUCUCCAAGACUCAUUAUUCUGCUUUUCCCAUUUGUUUGUUCAGUAUUGUUGUUGUAUUCUACAUUUUUUCCCCUUAACCUAGUAAUAAUAUUUGGAGCAGAACCUCCUUAGUUGAUUAUCUGACCCUUCACAGAUAUUCAGCCUUUCUCUGGUGUAUAAAAACCAGACUAGAUUGACUGGUUGAACCUGGUUAAUUAUUUUGGUUCUCUUUCUUUAAUGAUUCAAGAGGGGUUGUUCAUGGUUCACAUAACAUAGUCAGCAGCAUGCAUAUAAUGUAUAGAAAAUUUGGAAUCUGAAUUGUUCCAAGUCAAAGUUCUACCUUUUGACAAAUCCUAUGAGUGGAUACUGUAGACUGCGGAAUUUGUGCCAAUGAAUUUUCUUGUAGCAAUGAUAGGUCAAGCAUUCUGGGGAUGUUUUCAUCUUGCGCCAGGCAUUGGUCCUCAGCUUCUACAUAUUCUGCAACCCAUUUAUGAUGCUCUUGAAAUUCUCUCUCAUCUGAACACAAUGCCUUCAGAGCACAGGAAAUGCCAUCAGUUAAAAGCAUCGCAGGUCCUGUUUCUUUGGUACAUUCAAGGGAUGCUAUCUGCCAUGCACACAGAGACUAGUAAGACAAACUGGAAAAAGGCAACAUGUAAAAGCUUCAAUAAACAUUUUACUGUAACUAUGCAAUUCAUUCCGCUCGAUACAUCUGCAAUUGAUCGAGGGGAAUGAAUUGCUAUGCUCCAGUCCGUCUCGGGAGGCUUCUAGCAUAUGAUCUCUUAAAGCGACACCAUCUCAUUGUAAUUGAUCAAAAUUUACAACUUAGUUCAUACAAUUGCCAGAAGAAUAGAACUGCAGCAUCACAACACAAUGCCAUAUAGGAAAUUUUUAGGGAUUUUGCAAACAUUCCCAGUUGGGUACCUAUCAGCCACCGUCAACCUUUCCCAUCCCCUCUUCUAAGGAAGGAAGGGAGGAAGGGGGGAGGGAAGAUGAGAUGGGUGCCAAUUGGGUAUUUCUGCCAACCCUUACCAAAGCUAAUAGAAGAUCGUUUGGUAUUAUAACUUUACCAUAAUCUACGGAUUUGGCUAGACUAUAUCCUGCAUUUAUGCACAUACUGAAGUACAUAAACUGAAGAACUUAAGGUUUUAGAGAAACCAGGAAUUUAAUAAUGAAGUAUACCAAAUGGAUGAUCCCAAUUAACUAUGGAAAAUCCAAAAACCAGAAGAGGAAGCCAAGUUCCCAAAUUAGUCUUGUGUCUUCCAGACAUUCCAAUUCACUCCCACAUCAAAGUGCAUACAACUGGAAGAUCACAAUCUAGGUAUGAAGCCAAGUAAGGGAACAUCAUGAAGAACAGUAGAAGGAAGCUACCAUGUUUUAGUUUAUGUUAUUGUUUACAAAUUCUUAGCAACUUCGAAACAGAUAAAAAGGAAAAGGGCAGAAUCAAAGAGCUUAGCGUCACCUGAUCUGAUUCGGAGAACAAGGAAGCUAAAGCCAGAAGCUGGUUCUUGCCGACAUUGAAAUGCUGCUGCAAGAUUGGAGCUUUCUUUCCACACAUCUCUGGAGUCUUCUCUUUAAUACCCAUAAUUCCCUCAUUGGAACCCAAUAAGAACCAAACAAUUGUAAUACAACCUAAAAUCCCAAGAAGUAGAAGAAACUUUCUUCUUGAAUAUGUGACACAAUUAGGCCCAUCCAAGGGCUCCAUUGCCUUGUUUAACUUGAAACUAGCAGAUAAUCUGCCAUUAAACCCAGACACCCUGCAUUGCAGAUUCAUGCUACUAAAACCACACUACUCUAACUGAUCCCCUAAGCUCUAAAAACCCAGAUAAAUCUUCACCAGAAGGAGCACACCAAACCCACAUAAAGAUCAAUGAUUUGAGACAUACAAGUGAAAUAUAAUGGAACCCACUUGAGGUUUCAACUGAAUUAUACCACCAAGUGGUCCAACACCUUUUUACCCUCAAAACCUUGUCUGUUUUUUUUUAACCCACUUCAACACCAAGUGCAUUUCUUUGUGGAACCUGCAAACUCAUCAAAGCCACGACUCUUCUUGUGUACAACUCUGAACAUAGGUACCCACCAAUAAUGCUGAAACGAACAAUAAUUUGGGCAACCCGUGAAGAAAUCAUUAAGAAGAAGAAGAAGAAAAAUGGAGUCUCUUCUAAUAUCUGGCUCUUUCUACAGUUGCGUUCCGUCAGAGAGAAGAAGCAUCCGCAGUGAAAUAAGAGAGAGAGAAACCCUGCACCAAAAAAGUUGGAUUGGACUGAAAUUGGUUUAUGUAAGAUUCCAAACUGGAAUCAAUUAUCAGAGUGAGACUGAGAGACUGAGAGAAAAGAAAAAGGAAAUUACAAUGUGUGUCCCUUCGAUUCUUCUUUCUCUAGUUUGAACUUUGAACCCCACACCGAAGUGACCAAACCGAACAGAGAACAGAGACCCCCACCCAACCAUGUUGAUGACGUGUCGGCCUGAGAUUCUUUUACCGGGUUUUUUAUAUUUCUUUUUUAUAAUGAGAGGAAAAAGGUUGAAACGUUUUGGACGGUAGCUGUACAGAGGUCCCUACGCUGUCAACUUCGUCAGGAUUUGGGUUUUGGCGCCUUCUCGGCCUUUUCUACGAAACUAAGACCGUGUUUGGUUGUGUACCAUUGAGAAUUGUACAGCCCGCUAUGGUAGGUCUAAAUCAACCGGAUAAAGCACUUACAAAAUGGGUUCCGGAAAAUUCUGCUAUACCUGAGGGUAUCUUAUGCCUGCUGAAUUUCAUGACCAAUUUUGAAACCAAUCAGGACCCCGUACUGCUGAAAACCCUCCUCUUUUAGUGGAGAAAUUUUUCAGUGUUACGGAAAGAUCACGUGGCAGUCUGACGUGGUCCUACAUUCUAAUCAAAUUUAGACAUGUGGAUUUUCUUCAUAAAAAUUAUUUAAGCUAUUUUAUUAAAGAUCAUUUUGGGUUUUAUGUUGUUUUUUAAAUACUAAACCCUAAUCCCUAAACCCUAAACCCUAAACCCUAAACCCUAAAACCUAAAUCCUAAACCCUAUACCCUAUACCCUAAACCCUAGACCCUAGGUUGAACUUGCUAAAUACCCAUAAAUGUCAUUUCACAAAAAAUAGAAAAUAUUUGUUUAUAUUUUAGUUGUAAAAAAUCUACAUGUCUAAAUUUAAUUGGAAUGUAGGACCACGUCAAACUGUCACGUGGUCCUCCCGUACAACUUAAAAAUUUCUCCUUUUUUUUAGGGCCAAUUACAUAGAAGUCCACUUUAAGACAUUUUAUCUUAUAUAAGUCCACCCAAACAUUUUUACCCAUAUAAGUCCACCCAAGCCUAAAUAAAGGUAUUAAAGUUCAACUAAAUUACAGACCGUCAUCUAACCAAAAAAUUAGAAUUUCUCUCUUAUAUUUACAAAAAUGCCACUAAUUAAAAAAAGUCAACAACCACUCUCUUACCCGAAAAAGUCUCCGGCAGACCUCCGGCGAGGUCUCUGACGGACUCCGGCCGACCUCCGGCGAUGUCGCCGGCCGACUUUCGACGAGGUUUCCGACGGUUACAAAAGCUACUACCGCCACCAAUAAAAACUACUAUCCCUAGCUAGAAAAGCUACUACCACAGACUACAAAAGUUACUACAGUCAACAACAAAAGCCACUAUCCCUAGCUUUUUACUACCACCGAUUACAAAAGCUACUACCGCCAGCAAGAAAAACUACUUUCGCCAGCAACAAAAACUACUAUCCGUAGCUAGAAAAGCUACUACAGCCAACAACAAAAGCUACUACCACCGACUACAAAAGCUACUACCGUCACUAACAAAAACUACUACUGCCAGCAACAAAAACUACUACCAUCAGAAAUUAAAACUACUACUGUCAGCAACAAAAGCUGCCAUAAUCUGUAAUAAAAGCUACUACUAAGCACAAUAAAAGAUAUUACCAAGUAUUACCAAAUGGCUAAAAUAAAAUAUGUAUGUAUUACACUCGUCAUAUCCCUUGUAUGAAUUUUCUUGAAACAACAAAAACAAAUAGAAAAUUCACACAAGGCUACGACGCUUGCGUCUAACGCUCACGUCGCACCAUAAUAGCAUUUUACCUCAUUAUGGUGGAAAAGACGGUGUAUAAAUAUAUAUACGCGCAUAUCCCCUAUAUAAAUUAUUAUAUUUAUAUAGGGCUACGACGAUUGCGUCUAACGCUCACGUCGCACCAUAAUAGAAUUUUACCUCAGUAUGGUGGAAAAGCACGUAUAGCUAGCUAGCAUUCUCUCAUAUACAUAUUAUUCUCAUAAUCACCCACAUAUGGAUAUAUAUAUAUAUAUACUCACCGAAAUUCUCAAUUUCGGUUAUUCUCUAACAACAUAAAUUAUUUCGCAUGCACAUUAUUUAAAACAAAAGUCCACUCAUAAAUUAGGCCUAAGCCUGAUGUCGAUCUGGGGUCUCGUCUGCUCGAGCCUCCUCACGUCCUGAUCCAAAUAUAAUAUUAAUUUCCCAACUAACAAUCCAAUAAUUAAUCAAAAUAGGCAAAAUUACCCGAGAGCCAUAAACACGCUCAUCAUUGCCUAACUUCGAUAUUCUUAAAUCGGAACGAUCCGAACUUAAAUAUCAUCCUCGGCAGUCGUAAAUAUAACCUCCCCAAAAAUACGACUUAAAUCUUACGGCCGGAUUCUACAUUAAUUAACCGCCAAAAAUACCAAACUUCGGAAAUUCACAAACCUAUCCAAAUCUCAUCCAAAAAUUCCAUAAAUCACCUCAAUAUAAUCCCUUUAAUAUUCCACAUUUAAAACCCUAAAAAUCUCCCAAACCGGCGGCGGCCGGAGGCCAAAUCCGGCGACCUCCAAUUCCUAUGAAAUUUUAACAGCAUCUUCCUCUCAUCAUGCUCUACAACUUUCCUAACUAGCACAAACCCAAAAUCCAAGCCUAGCUAUGCCAAUCGAACAAAAACAUCAAAAACGCCCUAGAGCUUCCACCUCAAAUUUCUCCUUACCGAAGCAAACCGGAGUGAGUCCUUUUAGGGCAAGGCAGCUGGGUUGGAGACCUACAAAACCAUACCAAGCUUGCCCGGAUUGGUGGCCGGAGGAGGGAGUUCCGGCGAAAAGCUUCCCGGCGUUUCCGGCGGGUUUUCUCCUCUUCCGGCGGGUUAGAGGCUCGGGGGCUAGGCCGGGGAGGGAGAGGAGGAGAUGGGGGUCCGAACUGAGGUGGAGAGGGGGCAGAUGGUGGCCGGACGGCGGCAGGAGCACGGCUAGAAAACCGGGAGAGAGAGAGAACCGGGAGGAGAAAAGAGAAGAAAAGAGAAAAUGGGUUUGGGCCUCACUCCCCAGACCGGUCCAAGCUUAUAACAACCCAAUUCCAAAAAUAAAACACCCCGAAAAAUAAUACCCGAAUAAAAAAUUACCUUUUACUAGCUAAAAUUUACAAUUUUUACCGUCGUCGUAACUUUCUCCUACGAAUAAUCCUCCGUACAUAAUCGUCCCCGAAACUCCUCUAGGGACCAAUUAAACUAUUAACUGAAUGACGAAGACGGUAAAAUUCUUAUUAUAAUCAAGCUAGUAAAUAAGGUAAAAAUAUAAGGGUCGGGAUGUGACAAUUCUCCAAUCCUUAUAAAAAUUUCGUCCUCGAAAUUUGCAUACCUGUCAUCCGAAGAGAUAGGGAUACUGCUGCAUCAUUUGCUCCUCUGAUUCCCAAGUAGCUUCUUCUACUUGAUGACUUCUCCAAAACACCUUGACAAGCGGAAUUGUCUUGUUCCUAAGCACUUGCUCCUUUCGGUCGAGAAUCUGAACCGGAUCCUCUUCAUAGGACAAAUCUCUCGUCAAACUAAUCGGCUGCUCUUGCAGCACAUGAGAAGGAUCGGCAAUAUACUUGCGAAGCAUGGAUACAUGAAACACAUUAUGUAUCCUAGCUAACUCUGGAGGCAAAAGUAGCCGAUAAGCAAGUGAGCCAACUCGCUUUAUAAUCUCAUAAGGGCCAAUAUACCUCGGAUUAAGCUUCCCACGCUUACCGAAGAGCACAACCCCUUUCCAAGGAGAUAAUUUCAGGAACACCCAAUCCCCCUCUUGAAAUUCAAGAUCUCUCCUACGGACAUCUGCAUAACUCUUCUGCCUACUUUGAGCGGUUUUGAGUCUAUCUCUAACCACUUUAAUCUUCUCAUUCGUAACAUGGAUUAACUCUGGGCCGCAAAGCUCUUUUUCCCCUACUUCAUUCCAACACAAAGGCGUGCGACACUGCCUCCCAUAAAGAGAGAGAGAGAGAGAGAGAGAGAGAGAGAGAGAGAGAGAGAGAGAGAGAGAGAGAGAGAGAGAGAGAGAGAGUAGAGAGAGAGUAGAGAGAGAGAGAGAGAGAGUAGAGUAGAGUAGNNNNNNNNNNNNNNNNNNNNGAGAGAGAGAGAGAACCAAAUGAACGGGUGAGAGGCAGAGGUGAGAGAUGUGAGAUAUUUUGAAGCAUAAGGGUAAGAUAGUCAUGAUAAAAACAAUUGAGCCUUUAAAGUUGACUUGUGUGGGUAAAAAUAUUAGAAUGGACUUAUUAAGAAGAAAAUGUCUCCAUAUAGGCUUACAUGAAAUUUUCUAUUUUUUUUAAACUAAGUGAUAGGUAUGUUAUACGCUCAGGAAUAGCAGACAAAUGGGUUCAUUACAUAUAAAUCUAUUUUGAGAAAUUUUAUCCUACAUAAGUUCAUUUAAACAUUUUUACUCAUAUAAGUCCACCCGAACUUAAAUUCAAUUUUAAUAUUAGGUAUUAAAGUUCAAUAAAAUUACAGACUGUCAUCCAACAAAAGAAAAAUUAAAUUCUCUCUUAUAUUAACGAAAAUGCCACUAGUGUAAAAUGUCAACAACCAUGCACUCUCCAUUCCGAAAAAGUCUCCGGCUGACUUUCAACGUGUCUCCGGUCAACCUUCGGUGAAGUUUCCGACCGAUCUCCGAUGUGGCUCUUGCCGACCUCCGACGAGGUUUCCGGCCGACUUCCGGCGAUCACAAAAGCUACUAUCACCAACAGCAAAAGCUACUACCCUCAACUACAAAAGCUACUACGGUGAGAUUUCCGACAACCUCCAACGAGGUCAUAAAAGAUACUAUCACCAGUAACAAAACCUAUUACCGUUAUCAAGAAAAGAACUACCGCAAAAGGUCAUAAAAGAUAUUAUCACCAGUAACAAAACCUAUUACCGUUACCAAGAAAAGAACUACCGCAAAAGCUGCUGUCAACAAUAGCAAAAGGUCAUAAAAGAUAUUAUCACCAGUAACAAAACCUAUUACCAUUACCAAGAAAAGAACUACCGCAAAAGCUGCUGUCAACAAUAACAAAAGUUACUACCCCCAGCUACAAAAGCUACUAUGGUAAGAUUUUCGACGACCUCUGGCGAGGUCAUAAAAGAUAUUAUCACCAGUAACAAAACAUACUACCACCACCACCAAGAAAAGAACUACCGCAAAAGCUACUGUCACCAAAAGCUACUACUGUCGGCAAGAAAAGCUACUAUCACAAAAGCUAUUGUCAGUAACACUAAAAGUAUUGCUACCUUUAGUAAAAGCUACUAUUGUUGGCAAGAAUUUUAUAUUAAUGUCUAGGAUGGCCAGGAUUUCAAAACGAAAUAAGAAUGUCCACAUUUUAAUGUACAUAUGAAAAAAACUGAUACUCAAGUACAUAUGAACAUUCGUAGUGCUGAUACUCACAUAACAAGGAGAUAUGCAAAAGAAAUUUGCUAGCGUAUCUUCUUUUACAUUUGGUAAGAAGGGGACCUAAUGUAUUACAUAUGUGCAUUUCUAUCUUGAUAAUAUUAAUACUACAAAUAUAGUUGUCAUACGAUUAAAACAAUGUAAACACCUCUCAUAAGUUUAGCUUACCUAGGGUAAAAAAGGUAAGAAAUCAAUGGUUGAAAUCAUUACCAUGAAAUACUUUCGCAAUCUUCAUUUGAGAUAAGAAUGCACCUGUGGUACGUGGGUCUAAAUCCAACUGGAUAAAGUACUUAAUUAUGAAGCCUUACAAAAUUUGUCAAUUUGAUGCCAAUGCAUGUGGCCCAUGUAUUGUUUUUAGGGGGAAAGCCUUAAACAUGCAUGGAGAUUUCAUGCAGACAAUGGUCCUCCGUCCUCCAUUGUGCUGACCUCCUGAUUUUGAUGGACAGAGUUUUA